This 72208-nucleotide long non-coding RNA is filed under the name Coffea arabica (coffee). RNAcentral describes it as "long non-coding RNA (CARA_LNC000855)". Lineage: Eukaryota; Viridiplantae; Streptophyta; Magnoliopsida; Gentianales; Rubiaceae. The record is from RNAcentral.
UUUUUUUUUUUUUUUUUUUUUUUGGUGUUCGCUCUAUAAUUUGUUUCGUUUUUUCUGUGAAAACAAAAACGUUUGGCAAGAAAGAUACAGAAAACACAAAGUCAGUUAGUUAUUCAAGAUUCAUGACAAAUAAAAGUCUUUAUCCCUGUCGAGAGCCCAACAGGGCUGCUACAACAUGCAGAGAUCCAGUAACUACGAUGACUCCAGUUUGACAUCCGGAACCAGGCCCAAGCAUCUGACCUCCAGCUUUGAUAGAGGCCAUUAAGGAUCCCUCAGCAAAUAAUAUGGGCUGGCGUUCUGAUCUCUCAGCGUGAUUAAGAUUUAGGUCCUUAACUUCAGGUUCAUUAACGUAAUCCCCAAUAUCAAUUCCCAGCUCCCUUGAUGCUUGGGUCCAAGAGCCUCGUAAUGAGGAUGCUGAUGUUGCUCGAGAUUUUUCUCCAGCAAUGCUGGCUUCAGCAAAAAACACAGCCUCCAGAUAUCUAGCUGCGAAGUAGAAGACAGAAAAGGCAUAUAUGAGGGGAAGCACAUCCAGCUGUUGAGCGGUUAGUUUUCCCUAUUCCAGAUGUAGUCAAACCUGAAAGCAGUUCUUUUGCAAAACCCAAAUGAUCUUUGUCAUUUGCCAUGGCAACAACUAGAACUAAUCUUGCUUUCGGAAAUGCCAUCUCGAUGGUGUUGGCUAAAGCUCUAGCAGAUUCCUUGGUGUGAGCUGAAAACGAUACCAUCAUCAUAAUUUAAAAAUCAUAACAGCUUUACAAAGAAAUAUUUGCAAAAUAAAGUGAAGACUUCGCAAACCAACCUCCAUCGAGCAGUAUGGUUGCUCCUGAUAGUCCUAACCUCUCAGCUUCAUUUUGUGUCAAAAUUUGGCUUCUUCCAAUCAAAAAUGCAUUUUCUAGACCAGCACGAAUCGAUUCAUCUGAUAAUUCCCAUCCUAGAAUGAUUGGAAAAAUGAGCAUAUGCAAUCAUGAAAAGCCUGUAAGAAAUGAGAUAAUACUGCCUAAAGAAUCAGCUUGCGACAUUGCUACACUUGAAAUACUCAAAUUUUAAAUCUUAGAAUGGGCAUGAUCCUAUUAUGUUUUCUAUUAGAAGCUCUAAAGUCUCAAUGAUUAUGUUACUUUUGAAACAAGUGGGAUCAUUUCAAUUACAUUCAUUAUUUCUCACCUUGACCACGAAGACAUAGUGCGGCACAAGUGGCAGUUGCAGCAUUUUUAAGUUGGUGAUGACCAAGCAUGGAUAGCUUAACAUUGAAUAAUUCAAUAAACUGCACAAUUGGAGCAAUGAGCAGAUAAAAUGCACAAUUACCACGAAGAAGUAGAUCAGAUGCUAGAGCACAAUGAUUGAUGAGUCACAUAAAGCAGCUAAGGAAAGGCAAGUGAGACUUAAAAACGAGUAAUCAAAUGAAUGCAAAAUUAGUAACUUAUAUACCAACUGAAGAUCUUUCUCAAUCUGAAGCACCAAGUCACAAUAUUGGAAAGGUCUGCCGCGCAUUCUGUCAAGGCUUUUGAGAGUACUUCUAUUUCCAGUAUCAGAUGCUGACACAACAGGAGAAGACUUGGAGCAUGCUUUAUCACGAAGAAUACGCUCAAUAUGUGGAAGGAAUGGCCCACCUAGAACCAACUGAGAUUUCCCCAUAAUCAGAACUCAGGUGUCAUAACUAAUCGCGAUGCAAAAGGUAACAGGAAAACAUAUUCAAGCAAGUACAACACUAACUUACGAUUGGAAAACCAUAACUGAGAUUUCCCCAUAAUCAGAACUCAGGUGUCAUAACUAACCGUGAUGCAAAAGGUAACACGAAAACAUAUUCAAGCAAGCACAACACUAACUUAUGAUCGAAAACCAGAAGGCAAAAGUUUAUAAUGGACAGGAAAAAGUUUCCUCUAUCAUACUACAGUUACUAUGAAAGUAUAAACCACCUUAGAAAAACAAUGUUCACCGAACAACUGAUCUUGUAUUGAAAAUUUACAACCAAACAAGGAAAAAAGAACAUCUCUUACAAUAUGUUAGGCAACUCAGGUUGCAGUUAGAAACUAUUUAGGUGGUCUAUCCACAUAAUGAGUCCCUGUUCUUAACUAUCUGCUAUAGAUUUUACCUUACUCUUCUUAAACCAAAACACAAACUUUACAAGCUUCAAAACAGCAAUGCAGUGCUUCCAUUACAAGAAACCACUUACUCCACAACAAAUGCUUAACCAAAGAAUAUUGUGAGAAUGGUAUAGUCACCUAAUGCAACUCAAGUUCACGAGUGUAAAUCUGGUAAAGUCCACUGCUAAACUAGCAUACAGAAGGAAUGUGUAGAAGAACCACCUAACUGGUCGCCCAUCUUUAAUAAUUCCUGAUUUUGCAACUGCAAUACUUUCCAAGGAACCUCCAAGUGCAUCCAGAUGUUCCUCACCAAUUGAUGUUAUGAUUGAAGCAGCAAGAGCAGACCUUGGAAUUACAUUAGUUGCAUCACGUGCUCCACCUAGUCCCGCCUAUGUGAUAGAUGAAAGGGGGGAAAAAAGUUAAUACCAGUUCAAACAAGAGCCAGAAGCAUUUUAUUUGAAGAUCACUUUGAAGAAGAGACAGGUGGAAAGGGAAAUUAACAACCUGUGAAAUGGUUAAGAUUUCCAAUAAACAAUUCCGAAAUAGAGAUAGUAUUUGGGACAAAAAGAAAGAGGCAUGGAAAAAAAGUAAAGACUCCAAAACAUAGGAGUCAAAAUAAAGUCAGAUACCUCAAUAACUGCAAUAUCAACACUCUCUCGAGCAAAUAGGCUGUAUGCCACAGCAGUGAGAACCUGACCAAAAGACAGAAUAAACACACAGCCAACAGAAAUUGGAGUACACGACACAGAAACUCAUGGAAAGAUCAAGACUGAAAUAUAAACUCAGGCACCAACUUCAAAAUUGCCUAACUGCUCGAAUGCCUAAAAAGACAUAAUCACUCUUCAAAUGGUCAACUAAAAGAAAGGUGUUGUACACAAGCUCAUACUUCAAAAUGACUAAGACAACCAUUUUCAAGUUCUAUUGCUUUGUCAAGAACCAUCCUCAAACUUUGGAAAUGAUGAUUCAAUGCCUUUGCAGAUAUAGGGUCUCCUGAUGCACCCAGUGUUAUGCGUUCCCUGAUAGUUCGUAUAUGUGGACUGUUCAAAGAAACAAUGACUCGUCAAACCCAGAAUUCUGAGAGACAGAAUGGAUAUCUGUUCAUCUUAAUCAGAAUGCUAACGUUAGGAAGAAGGGGAAAAAGGGAUGAACCGCACCUAGUAUAGCAACCGACUGAAUACCCUUGUGCCCGUAAAAUGCUGGAGAGGAAUGCAGCCGUUGACCCUUUUCCCUUUGUCCCAGCAACGUGAACAGCCUGUUUUACAUAUCAAGCCAAUCAAAAUUCUAGCAUGGUACAAAUGGGUGGACGUUCAAAAGGUGCUGUAAGGAAAAAUUGCGAGUGCAAAGAAACAAGUAUCCUCCGCAAAAGCUAAAAACUACUAACACAGAGUAUCCGUAGUCCAUCAAAGUAUCCAAUCAGCAGAUGUAAAGCUUGCAAAGGCAGAAUUUUUCGCAUUCGCCAAUAAUUUCAAGAAUUUCAAAAAGAAACAAAUCAAAACGUCGUAUAUUUUGAUAAUGAUAGAGCAUUACGGAAUAUAAUUUGGGGGGUUUUUUUUUGUAUACCAAAUUAUAUUGAUACCUAAACAAAGCAAAAAGAGCGGAUAACAGAAGCUAGCAGCUGUUCAGCAAGAAAAAGAGUUCAAGGAAUUAAAAGAAGGAUGGUAAAGGGAGGAGAAAACAGACCUUAAAAUUGCACUGAGGAUUACCCAGAAGUUGCAUUAGCCGCCUCAUCCUUCCAAGAUCGAACCCAUCAUCAGAGUCAGUUCCUGCGCCUUUAGGGACACCAGCCUUUUCAUAGUUCUUGAGGUUGUCAAUAAAAUCUAUAAACUCCUUCAGUUCUGGUUCAUCUGAGAAAAUACACAUGGGUUGCGUCUGAUCUAAAUUGUAGGAAUGCUUGAGAAAUUUAACGGCUGGAGAAGCUGGGAUUUGUCUGUGAAUUGUGCUUAAUCUAUGAAAUAACCCAACAGAUUUCAUCUUCUUUGUUCAGCUUGCUUCGUGUUCUAGUGCUCUUUGCUCCAGGCUUUUCUCUUCUUCUUCUUCUUUUUUUUUUUUUAAAGAGUUAUUUUUAGGGCUUUAAGGAGUAACGAUCUGAACCCAAAUACUACUACACAAGCUAAAAGGAAGCCCCGCAGCCCUCAGGUAAUCUCCUUUCAAAAAACGUUUGGAUUCUUGUUUUUGGGCUUGUUUUUUAAAACUGUUUUUCACAAUCCAAAUGCUACAGUAAAUGUAUAUUUCAAAAACAACUCCAAAAACACAUAUCCAAACAAUAUAUCAAAAACAACUCCAAAUACAUAUUUAAUAUGUUUAUUUCAAUUUAUAUAUUUCAAUUAUGUAUAGGAUAUAUAUAUAUAUUAUAUUAAUUUAAAUAUAUUUAUUUAUACAUAUUAUAAAUAUUUUAUUUUAUAUAAAAUAUAUUUUUAUAUAUUUAUAUAAAUAUUAUAUAUUAUAUAUAUUAUAAAUGUGUUAUUAUACAUUUAUAUAAAUGUUAUAUAAAUGUGUUAUUAUACAUUUAUAUAAAUGUUAUAUAUUAUAUAUAUUUAAUAUAUACAUAAUAUAUAUUAUAUAUAUUGAACAUUUAUAAAAAUGUACAUUUAAACAUAAUAUAUAUUUAUGUAUAUUUAUAAUAUACACUUAUAUUAUGUAUUAUAUAUAAUAUAAUACAUUUAUACAUUUAUAUUAAUAUACAUAAUAUUAAUUAUAAAUUUAUACAUAAUAUUAAUAAAUUUAUACAUUUAUAUUAAUUACAUUAAUACAUUUAUGCAUAGAAUUAAUAUAUAUUUAUAAUAUAUUAAUUUAUACAUUUAUAUAAUAUUCAUUUAUAAUUUAUACACAUUUAUAAUAAUAUACAUUUAUACAUUUAUAAAUAUAUUUAUAUUAUGUAUUAUAUAUAAUACAAUACACUUAUAAUACAUUUAUAUUUUUAUUUAUAAAUAUAAUAUAUAAUAAAUAAAUAUAAUACACUUAUUUAUUUAUAUAUAAUAUAUAAAUUUAUUUAUAAAUAUAAUACACUUAUUUAUUUAUACAUAAUAUUUAAAUAUAUUUAUUUAUAAAUAUUUAUAAUUGUAUUAUAAAUGCAUAAAUGUAUAUAAAUAAUUGACUAUAAAAUUAUAAAUUAUAAAUUAUAACACAUUUAUAAAUAUAUUUAUGUUAUGUAUUAUAUAUAAUAUAAUACACUUAUAAUACAUUUAUAUAUUUAUUUAUAAAUAUAAUAUAUAAUAAAUAAAUAAAUAUAAUACACUUAUUUAUUUAUAUAUAUAAUACACUUACUUAUUUAUAAUAAUAUAUAAAUAUAUUUAUUCAUAAAUAUCUAAAUAUAUUUAUUUAUAAAUAUUUAUAAUUGUAUUAUAAAUGCAUAAACGUAUAUAAAUAUAAAAACAUAAAAAUUAUAAAUUAUAAAUUAUAAUAUACAUUUAUAUAAUAUUCAUUUAUAAUUUAUAUAUUUAUAGUAAUAUACAUUUAAACAUUUAUAUAUAAAUAUAUGAAUAUAUUUAUUUAUAAAAGUAUAAAUAUAUUUAUUUAUAAAUAUUUAAAUAUAUUUAUUUAUAAAUAUUUAUAAAUGUAUUAUAAAUGCAUAAAUGUAUAUAAAUAUAAAAAUAUAAAAUUUAUAAUUUAUAAUUUAUACAUUUAUAUAAUAUUUAUUUAUAAUUUAUACAUUUAUACAUUUAUAAAUAUAUUUAUAUUAUGUAUUAUAUAUAAUAUAAUACAUUUAUAUAUUUUUAUAUAAAUAUAUUUAUUUAUAAAUAUUUAUAAAUGUAUAAUUGUAUAUUGUUAUAAAAAUUUAAAAAUUAUACAUUAUAAAAAUACUCGAAAAUAUGUUUUAAAAAUACAUCUAAAAAUAAUCCAUAAAACAUCUACUGUAAAAGUUUUUUAUAUAAUUUUUGAAAAACAACCCCAAAAACAACUAAUCCAAACGGACUUGUAUUUGAAAAACGAAAUGCUACAGUCCUGUUUUUGAAAAACAACCCAAAAAACAGCUAAUCCAAACGGACCCAAGAACUUCUUAGUAUCUAAGCUAGGAAAAAACACUUGCUUGCUAUGAUUAUACGGAGGAAAAUGUUAUUCGCACUCACUCUCAUUUUUAUUAAUUAUAGUACUCUUAUUAUUAUUUUAAUUAUAUAAUUUUUAUUUAUAGAUUAUAUGAUAAAAUAAAUAAAAAUUAUUAAUUAUACUCUCACUGUUGUUUUGAUUAUAUAAUUUUUAUUUAUAAAUUAUAUGAUAAAAUAAAUGAUAGAAUAUAAAUAAUAAAAAAUACAAUGGAAAUAACAUUUUUCGUAUACAAAACCAACAAUUAAUUAAAAAAAAUUGUAAUCGGUUAAUCAUGGUACUUGAGUUUUGCGCAUAAAAGAAAUGACAUGUGUAUAACUAGUUAUCUCGUUUUUUCUAUCUUAAUUAAAUAACCAACAAAUUUCCAAAAGUUUGGAAAUACUUUAAACCAACUAAGUGCACUUUUUUUGUGUGUGUUUUGGGUGUUUUUUUUGGGGGGGGGGGGGGGGGGACUGUGCGUUUAAAAAUCAUAAAAAUAAACUUGCACACCCUAUUAUGUAUUUUGAAAAAAAAAACACUCAAAAGGUGUGAAAAGAAACUAAACAAGGUCAUGAUUUAAAAAAAAAUUGUGAAUAACCUACUAAAUCGAGUGUGCUUUAAUAGGAGUUAAUUUGAGAUAUUAUUUGCAAAAAUUACUAUUGCAUUUUUUAUAAUAUGAUAUAUGUUACAAAAUAUAUUUGUAAUACAAAUAAAUAAUUUUCUUUAUAUAUAAAUGCUAUCCAAACACUUGCCAACUUUUGAAUAAGACGAAUCAAAUCUAUUCCAAUUUUUGCCGUUUUUUCUCCUGUUGAGUCAAACUUUUCUACUUGUAAAAUAUGAGAAAAUCGUACAUGAAUAUUCUACCAGGUAUUCAAGAAAUAUUUUGUAUUUGUAUAGUAAAUUAUUUGAGAUAAUUUUGUAAAAAAAUAUUGUAAUAUUUUUUUGAUGUGAUGCAUGUGAGAUAAAAAAAUGAUUGAAAAAUAUAUUGAUAAUACAAACAAAUUAGUAUAUUUAAAUAAAAUGAAAAUAAUAUAUAACACACUGACGCGUUCACUUUUAGAUUACGUUCAAAAUUUAAUCAAUACAAAGGGUUUUUUUUUUUUUCUUUUUUGAUUGGGGUACUGAAUUUCAACUGAUAGCCAAUAUUUUUGUCGCCAACUGGUGUGGAUUAUUCUAGUAAAACAUUUUACUCUUGGUGAUAAUUGAAAUUCCCACUUUCACUUUUGCAAUUUAGCCCUAGCAAUUAUUCCCCGCUGCUGCUCCUCCAGGCCUCCCCCUCCCUUACCCUGUAAGUAAUUCAGUCUUCUAAGGUACGCCUUUUUUUUUUAUGCUUUUUUUUUUUUUUGUUUUUCAAAGUUUAUCUGUUUUCUUGCCAAUAAAUUCGUUCCUAAUGCGCAAGUUGCUGCCUGGCUUUUAGUAUGAAACUGUAAUAUGAGUUACAGAGAUAGAAACAGAAUUGACUGGGAAAACGAUUUUAAACACUAAUGCAGAAGCAAACUUCGGACUAGCUUGCCCUUCUCCGGCCGUCCGCCCCCUCCCCUGUAUGUCUCCUUUUUUUUUUUUUUAUCUGUCUUGGACGGGUUCUUGGUUUUAAUAUCUUAUUCUACUUAGUAGGGCAUGUUUGCUUGUGGGUUCCAUGUGCUUGGAUUUUCAGUCAAAGGGUUUUUAGUUUUGUGUACGAACUAGAGUAAGUAGUAGUUUUUUGGAAACCAGGGUCUGGUCCUGAAAGUAGUUACUAAUAGACAACAACGUAUCAAAAGGAGGUUGUGAUCCAGACAUAAAGAAGAUGAUGCAUAUAGGCGAAAUACUACCCACGGCUGAUGCUGGGGUUAAAUUAGAAGUAAUGGAAAACAAAGAAAACAAUCAUGGUACUUCGUCUGUAAAGAGAGAAUUAGAGUGCUGCAGUAACUGUUGGGGAUGGGAAAAGAAGUUCAAGCAGGCAGAAGAGAGGCUCGUGGCGUUGAUGUCCCAGUUUGAGAAGAAGAUAAGUGAGCUUGAAUCUCUGGAGGGAAAGCACAGUGCACUACAACUCGAAAAGCUUGUGACAGAAGAUGAGGUUCAAUCUUUGAGGAAAAGAAACCUAGAGCUUGAGGAGAAAGUUGCUUGUUCCUCGAAUGGUAAGAGGUCUAUGGAUGGAGUGGAAAAGGGGGUAGAAGGUUUUGUUGAUUUAAUGGAAGAUGCAGGGGCUGACAAGGUUGUGGAUUUGAUGAUUGAGAAUCAGGUUUUGCUCUGUGAGAAGAAGAAGGCUGAAAGUGAGGUUGAAGUUUGGAAAGUAAAGUGCAGAGAAUUGGAGUCCCAGGUAUUGGAGUUGGAAGAGCGUUUGACCUCUGUAGAAGGGGAAGGUAACUUGAAUGGAACAGCCAAAGUAGGCAUGGCAUCACCUGGAGCAUGCAUGGAAGAGAUUACUGGAGCAAAAGGGUUUCCAGGUGGAGUCAAUGGUGCUGCCACUCCUGGAGCUGAUGCAUUUUGUACAAAUUUAACACAUGUAGACGAAGGAAAGAGAGGCAUUCCUUUUGAAAAUCGCAUGGGAUCUGGUAGUCGAGCAAGGAAGCAGUUAGUUUUUGGAGACGAAGGGAGCCCCAGUAAGAAGAUCGCUCCUACAACACCAGGUGGUGUUAGACCUUCUUCCCUUAGUAUUAUUGACAUCAGUGACAGUGAGGCUGAAGAAAAUGUCUCUUAUUUGAGUACUCUUGAUUUGCACACAAGUAAAAAGGCCUGCGAAUCAACUGAUUAUGGAGGAGCGAUUACUCUGGAUAAAAAGCAGUUUCCUUGUACAAAGAAUUUGGCUAGUGCUAUUGACCAAACUAAUGAUGAUGAUGUGUCUUGCCAAGUUGGAAUUGCCCCCUUUAUGUCAACUUCUAAAAGGAAAAGAGCUGCCAAAAUAGUUGCUAGUGACAGCGAAACUGAUACGGAUGAUUGCUUGCCUAUUAGUAGGCUAAGGACAAAUUCUAGGAUGGCUACCGCUUCCCCAGACAAAGAGGGAGAACCUGCAGUUAGGCGGCGCUUGGUGACGUUGAGAAAUUUGAAAGAGAAAGGCACUUCAAAGAAAAGCUCGCCUAGAAUUUCAAAGAGAAUCCGGACUGAGCGACUUUGUGGAAUACCAACAAAUAUGAUUUCUUCAGAUGAUGAAGAAGAAGUGAAUGAGUCAGACGGUGAAGAAGAUGACUUUAUUGUACAUGACUCUGAGUCAGAAGGAGGCAGUGCUUCUAAAGAUCCUAAAGAUGAUGACAACUGUGAUGGUUUAUUGUCUGGUGGUGAUUUUUCUGGUGAAUCAGAUGAUGCAUCUGAUGACAGUCUUGACUACAAAGCUAUCAUAGCCACCAUUGGAAGGCACAAAGAUCAUAAAGUGAAGUGGGAAUUCCAGGCAGAUAUGCAAGCUGCUUUUGGUAAGGACAUUCAGCUCUGUAUGAAGGCUGUCUGUGCUCUUUAUCGCCAGCAAACCACUGAGGAAAAGUUUCAUAAAGCAACAAUAGUGCGUAAUGAAAGAGGAUUUAACCAGUGUGAUGCACGCAGGUAUGCAAUAUGUCAAUCUCAAGAUAUGAAUUGCUCAUGCUUUAGAAAUUUUUCACUCUCAAUGUGCACAAUUUUUGUUCCUAAUGUACAUUACAGACGUGCGAAUGUAAAUGUACAUAAUGUGUUUGCUGUUAUAUAUACACACCCGGGCAGAUACAGAGCUUGCAUUCGGGUGUUAAAUUGUACAAAGAUAGUAAGUUGGGGAGCCACCUGAUAGAUAAUAUAUAUUGGUCAUCUUUUCAUCCUGGGAGGGUGCAGGUGUUGAGACAUUUAGCUGUCUAUGUAUCUAUCUAGGAAAGUUUGUUAUGAAUCUUAAAAUGAAUCUAUUGCAUGUAUUUGGUUUCUGGUUCUUGAGUGUGCUUCUUUUGCAUGCUGGCAUGUAUUUGCAAAGUAAAUUUUUUGCAAUAAAAGGUUCUUAUAUAUUUUGUGCUUAUUAGUAGUCACUGUGCUAAGGUCUACCAAAAGAAACAAGCUAGAGCCCCUGCCAUAAGGAGUGCUUCUUACUGAUUGAAAAUGUAAAUGCUGAUGUGUUCUCGUCGUCUUUGCUAAAAUUUCUAAUUGCCUUGAAUUUGAUGCUACAGGAUCCCUUGAGAUCUACAGCACGUCAAUAUUGAGUUAUAUAGUUUAUUUGAUGAAUGAAGAAGAAUGAUAGGUUGUAUAGAUUGCAAUAAGCUGUUUAUGACUUUGUAGGGGUACGUCAUUGGGUGAAUUUCUUACUGACGGGGAUCCACAAGGUGACCUGGUGAAAUCUGUAGAAGAAUUGGAAGCACGUGAUCCAAAAUGGCUCGAACUAUGUAGAACGCUGGCAACACAUUAUGCUAAACAAUUGUAUGAGAUAUAUCAGAGCAACGAGGAUCCUCUUUGGACGGCCUUAAACGGCUGAGAUAAAGGCGUUUAAAGUUGUGCAUAAGCAUCAAAUGUUUUAGACGAUAGGGAAUUGGAGGCAAAACUACUUUUUGAGGUAUCCUGUGUCUGAGCCUUGUUGCUUGUCAGCUGUUUGUAAAUGUUUUAUCCUGUUCGUUUUGCAUAUGUUCUGCAGAUUCUCAUGGUUUGCUGCAUGUGAAUAGACUAGAAAGUGUUUUUUCUCUUCUCUGACGUAUUAUCUUGAUGAGUCACAGAAUACCCUGACUGUAGUACGUAGUACUAACUGCAGAAAAUGUACUAUCGGCCACUGGGGAUCUAAAAACUUUUAGUUCUUUUUGGCAACUUUUUGCAUCUCUGGCAGCUGAUUCCUGAACUAAUAUACAUGGGUGACGAAUCUUAUAUCUGCAACAUGGAUAGGUGGAGGCAUUCUAGGCAUGACCUUUGUUACUUUACCAUUACGCCUUUGUGUUCCCUUAGCUUCAUUUGCACUUUUACUCGAGGAAUAAUUGCCCUUGUGCCAAUAACCAUCUCCCCAAGGAUAUAGAUUUCCAGGAGAGGUUCGGUUGGUCACUUCUACAUCUAUGAGCGAUGCUCCGGUUCGCAUUCAUAUUUCACCCCUUGAGUGGACUGUCAUGGACCUUGUAAGAAGGCAUACCUAUAUUAUCCAGAGUGUUUUUAAUUCUAUUUCUACUAUCCUUCCUUGCACAUUCACUGAAGGGUACAGACCUUUAGUACUUGCCGUAUGAGCUCUAACGUAUUGUGGUUUCUCUGUAGAUCGGUUGGGUAUCAAGAUUUGGUGUGCCUUUAGGUAAUUGAGCUUCAAUGUUUAGCUAUUUAAUCUUUACUGCCUAGUUUAGGAGAUGAGAUUUGAGCAGAAAAGAAAAGAAGGGAAGAGAAAGGUAGCAUCUCCCACGUUUGACAGUUUUAAGUGAAAUAGAAAGGAAGAGAAUCUAACAGAUUUGGAAGGAAGAAGAGGCAGCUACAGUUUUAAAAAAAUUUUCGGCCCAAAUCGGGCAGAAAUCAAAGGAAAGGCUGCAAAAAAUUUUUAAAUUACCCAUUCUAUCCUUAAAAAACUAUUGAAUAAAUAUUUAUUGAUCAAUGUGUUCAAAAUCACCUCCUUUCUUUCAUAAACUCCCAAAUAAUAUUAAAAUCUCUUCUCUUCUUUUCUUAUUCUUUCUUUUCUCUGGCAACUUAACCUUUCUCUUCUUUUCUUUUCUAUCCCCAACUCACAAACUAGCUACACAGGUUUGCUUGCAUCGACAUCUAACUGUCUAAGAAAUGCUUUGUUGAUUUGCUAGUCAAAGACGUUAGGCUUCCUCUCUGGCCGCGCCACAAUUAUCGUUGGCGGCUGUAUGACAGUGAUAAACACCUAUCACACCCAACCCCCACCCCUUCCCCCCCUGAAAAAAAAAAAAAGAUAGUGAUUGAUUCCAAGCUGACAAGUAAGGGGUUCAAAAUAGAUGAUUCGGAUAUAUUUGAGCGGGACAUAAUUGGAUAAUCGAUAUAAUAGGCUCAAUCUAUUUAUGUCCAUUUAAAUAAAUGGGGAUAAAUAGAUCUCAUUUAUAUCGAUUUAUGAGUUACUAAAAAUUUCACUUUUUUUUUUGUAUUUUAUUGUUAUUAGACAGGUAAGAAAUUCAAAUUUAUUUGCUUAACAUUCACUAAAAGUUUAGUUUAAAUGCAUAAUUGGGUAUAAAUGGGUGAACCGAGUGAAUCCACUAUCCACCAAUUAAAUGGGUUUAAUUGGCUACCUCUUUAGACCCAUUAAAAAUUAAUGGAUGAAUUUUAACAAGUUAUUAAUUAGUGGGCGAAUUUGGACGGAUCAACAUAGUUGAAUUGUAAUUGAUACCUCCAUUUUGACAUGUCAAUUCAACUUUGGGUGGGAAAUAGAGGAGGUGGGGAGGGUUUAAAAAUAAAAAAAAAAAAUCAACAAUGGCUGUAAUUGAUACCUUCAUUUUGGUUUAGGAUCAUGAACUGCAUGGCAGUUGUUGGAAGAAGGAUCUAAAUGUAUAUGGGUAUAUGACCCAAUUUUUCACUUGUCUGCUAAUAGAAGCGUUGUUUUUGGACGAGCAAGGACUUACUUAAGCCCAGGAUUUUUUUUUUACGGCCAUUGUUUCUAUCUAUUAUUAUCUAAAAAUAAUCUAAGUUAUUAAUGAUUAGACGAAAUUAAGAAAUAACUUGUCACGUGCAAAAUUAUAAUAGAAACGCACUCUCUUGCACAAUUUUAUUUGUUUGUAUCGUAAGCACAUUUUUCAACUACUUUUUUUUUAUCUCACAUAAAUCAGAUCAAACAAAUGUUGUCAUGUCUUUUUAAAAUAUUAUCUCAAAUAAUCUCCUAUCUAAACACACUCAAUGCUUUGUGUGGACUGGUGAUCUUUCAGUCUCCUCGGCACAUUUGAGUAAAUUUGGUUCCAUGGUUUUGAUAGUAUUCAAAUUCACCCCUCCAAAAUAUAUGCAUUCUUCUUCUGAUUUUGGAAUCCUUCACCUCGUUUUGCAUUUUUGGGCCGGCGGCUAAACAAAAACAAUAUGAUAUGAUACAAACCUCUAAAGAAAGAAGUGGUAGCGUUUUCAAAUUUUGGUAAGAAUAAUAAAUAUUUUAUAAUUGGGACAGCAAUAAUAUUCUUGAAAGCUUAAACCUAAUUAAUUACUCGGUUAAAAACAGAAGGUUCCAAAAAGUGGGAAAAAAAAAAGGACAAAGAAAGGAAAACAUGACAGAGUGGCACUCAAUAACAACGCAGCAUCAAGUGCUGUAAUUCAAAGCUCCACCCAAAUUUUGUAAAAAAAAAAAAAAAAAAAAAGGAAAAAAAUUCAAAUAACGGUCACAUGGGAAAGUGCGGUCCAGUGCACGCACUGCAAUUGCGGGUGGGGGGCGUGGGUCCCACAACGGGAAUGGAAGGGUGAUGGACAUCGUUAUGCGUUAUGCAGAUUGGGGGGCUGGCCGCCUUCCUCUCUCAGCCUCUGCGCUGUCUUAUAUAUACUUUGGGGAAUCUCAUUCGGCUGAAGUAAUUGAAGCCGUAAAUCCCUUGAAGGCAACAUAUAGCCAUAUACAUUGUUCCUGUCACCGCUUUCUUGUCUCCCAUACUCUGCGGCUGCGGCUCCUCCUCCUCCUCCCUCAACCAAAGGCGCAGCCGCUGUUCGCAGAGGAACGGGUGUAGGAAAUCCAAUAUUCUUCUGUUCGCAUCGCAGAGGAACGGAAACCAAUAUUCUUUCGGAGACAAAACUAACCUACCCAACAAUGGAGGUGGUGUCAAGGGCUUCAAUUGCAUUGGUGGCUGUCAUCUGCCUCGUCUUAGCCACUGCUUUCCCCACCGCCGCUGCCAUGGCUAAUGCCCCUGCUCCUGCUCCCACCAGCAGCGACGGUACAGAUUCUUUAACCCCAUCCAACAUUUUACUCACCUUUAAUCCCUCCUCAGCAACACUAGUAAUAUAUUCAAUAAAUGUAUUAAUGGUUUUUUUUUAAAAAAAAAAUUUUUAAUUUUGGCAGGUACGGCGAUAGAUCAGGGGAUAGCCUACGUCCUGAUGCUGCUGGCAUUAGCGUUGACAUACAUCAUUCACUAAAUGAUCUUUGACGUGCUUCUUCAUCAAUUAUCAUCUUUAUCACGGCCUUCAUUCAAAAUCACUUGUACAAAAUCUGAAGGAAGGGGAAAGGCAAAUGGAAGAAGCAAACAUCCAAUUUUCAACCAAAUUCAACAUUGAUUUUUGAUGGCACAUUAGACAGAAGAGGCAACAUUUAUUCAAAAAUAUGGACUCGGUUGAUAAUUUUUAUUUUAUUUUGUUUAUCCUUCAUCAUUUUCCAGAGUAGCCAGAUUUUUUUUUAUCGGGUUUUUGGUCUGUAUAGUUUCUUCGUAGUUUUCUUUUCUUUUUCUUUUUUUAUUUGAUUUCUGGGAUUGUUUUUUUUUUUUUUCCAAUUUUUAUCGGGUCUUUCAAUUUUUUGUUUAAUUAGAAGAGUAUGUUUACUUUUUUUUUUUUCCUCUUUUGUUAGGGAUCGGCAGUAGUACGGACCUUUUAUUUAUUCAUUAUUAUUUUUCCAUUUUUUUGGGUUUUGUGGCCAAGAAGAAGCGUUGGAGGAAAUAUGAACAUUCCCAUGUUGAGCUAAGAAGAGAAAAAGGAUUCAGACUUUGUCAGACAAAUUUGCAGAUAUCUUCAAGCCAAAGAGUACAUAUAUUUUGAUUCCAAAAAGAAGAAAAUUUGUUGCACAGAAGCUAUGUCGAAUAUUUCACUAAACGGUUGAUGAUUUAGCUAAAUUCUUCUGCCUCUGCUUCUCAGCUGGCUUUAAAAUUUUGGUCAAACAACAAAAGAUAAAUGAAGGGAACCGUACAAAUUUUCUUCUUCCAUCGCACGACAAAUUCGGUCAUGUACCAAGAGCACAUUAUUACAACAAUGUCGCUAAUAAAUAGUUUGGCCAGUCACCGAAAAAUUAAUGGGGAAAAAAAAAAAAAAAAACCUAGCCCGCUACUUUCUUUACCCUUCUCUUACCACACAUGAGAAACAAAUAAUUUUCAUUACUCUUCCGCCUAUUUGAUGCGCUGGUUAUUAGGUGAUGGAUUUUAGCAGUAUUCUUUAAUUCCAUAGAUGUUCAUAUUGCUCUCAUGGUUGAUGUAUUGUGUUCGAAAUUUAAGUUAGGUUGCCAACCAUUCACCAUUUUAUUAAAGAGUAAAUGUUAUAUGUAUUGAUAAUAUGUACACAAUCGUUAGACGAAUGUUAUAUCAGUAAAACUUACUGCUAGUUUAGAUUACAAUUUUCCAAAGAAAAAUUACUACAUUUUCUGUAGACAUAACAUAUUUUUUAAUUAUCUUUUUAUCUCAUGUUAUAUCAAAUCGUUACAGUAUUUUUUUCUAUAAAAAACCCCCAAAAAAAUGCAAUCCAAACAAAGUCUUAGAUUUGAAAUUCAAAUUCAAUAUACGUAAUAUUCAUUUAAACCUAAUAAUGCAUGCAACGUUCAUAGAAUAUUAAUCAUCUAUUAAAUGAAUUAAUCUUUCAUAGAAUAUUAAUCAUCUAUUAAAUGAAUUAAUCUUUCCUACAAUAAUAGUAUAUAUACACUGUUAAUGUAGGAUGAAUGACAACUGUAUAAAAUUUGAAUUUGAAAUUUAAUUUUUGCAUAUAUAUCAUGGUUCCAAUGAUAAUAGUAUACGUACUGUUACUUAGUGCAUAUAAAAUUUACUCUUAUUAAAUAUUACUAGUCUAUUUAAGUUGCAAGCAUGCUAUCCACAACUCAAUGGGCUGGAAGGAGACCCAAAAAAUCCUCUAUCCCGAACCAUAUUCGUUUUGGCUCUUGCUUGCAAUCCCCAACCAAUCAGUAAGCAUUUUCCUUUUGGCACACUGACUGGAAGCGUUCUUGAUCCGCAGAUGGACCUUUCACUUAGCAGAAUUUUGUUGAAUAGCCUCUCCCAUAUGAAGGGUCAAUAGCAUCCAACUGUAUUGAUAGAUGCUUUUAUGCUUUAGUUCAAUUUCAAGUAGGGUCGAGGCGGGGAAUUGGGAACUCCCCACGUCUCAUAAUGGAAUCCAACUAAUCCCUCCAUUACAUAGUAAACUUCCACAGCUCAAUUAGUUGGAACAAAUAAAAAAAAAUUUCCCAAGCCCAGAUCCCCAUUGAAGACGCAAGACAGAAAAAUAUGUUUCCUGCUACUAACUGAGAUGUUUAUCCCAAGAGAAACCUGCUAACCGGCCAAAAUUUUUUUUUUUACAAAAUAUCAUAUCAGUUCCUAAACCACCCAAGAAGGUAGAAACAUAACCGAGGAGAUAAAUUAUUUGUGGCAUUCGCAGGUUGGACGAUCCAACAUAUCACCAAAACUGCCUGUAACGUCUUAGGGAGUUAGCUUCAAAUAAGUCAGCAACUACGCUCUUUCAACAGUGGAGAACCAACCUUCAAAUGAUAAAUAGGAUUGUUCUCCGCAUGUUACACUUCAGUGGCAUACUGUCGAUGAAAAACAUACUUAACGACUUCAUAGAAUGAAACCACAAUUCCAACUGAAGGGCCAGCACGAGCAACACGAGGACCCACACCAGUAAACAGUCCUUUUAUUCCCCAAUCUCUGUGCGAUCAAAUUUGCAAAUUCAGACUCCGAAACGUCAGAAGCGAAAUAUGAAACAGAUUUUGGCAGGAAGAUGGUCCAACAGAUAUUUCUACUGAGACAACCAAUUCUGCUGAUUCCCUAAAUUUUCAUAGUUCUACAGAUGCAACAUAAUUGACUUUUACAUAGUCCAGCAAAUUCCCAAACCCAACUUCUUGCAGACAGCAAUCAAGAAGAUUAAAUGGGUUAAAAAAAAAUCCAUAUAAGAAGAAGAUAACAAACAACAGACCGCAGAAAAGUUGAAAUCUGUGAAUCAUGCUCUAGGGAAAUCGAGCUUCUGGUUUCUUUAAACUGAAGCAUCUAUUCUAUCUGUCUUAAAAAAAUGCAACAUGCCUAAAUGGAUUUGCAUUUGAUCUAAACAGGGAUAAUGUCAUGAGCUACGUGUAGCAACGAAAAAAAAAAAAUCAAAAGUCAGAAGACGCUACCUCCAAACCUCCAGCAGUGUUUGUCUAGUGGUCAUCCUUAGUGCCCUGACAGGAUCCUUCUGUGUACACAACAGGUGCAAGGACAAAAUGAGUAUUUAUUAUUGGCCUAAGAAUUUAGAGAAUAGAAUUAGAUAACAAUGAACUUAAACUUCAUUCUCAAUGAUUUUUCUCAAAGAGCAUAUAUUCAUUCAACAGGUAUAGACAGGCACUACCAUCAGAAAACAGCCUGAAUCGUACCUAAAAAACCACACAUAUUCCUACAGCUUGAUGAUCAAUCAACUAAGUGGGUCAUGAUACUGUGAGCAUUCUAAAAACUUGUCCCUCUGAAGCUAAGAGUGAAUUUUCUUUUAAACUAGUUUCAAAGGUGCCCUCCUGACACACGAUAGAAUCAGGUCCACAACUCAACUCUUCUUUCUUAGACAUUUUAUAUCGGAAAGGAUGCUUAGCCAUCCACCCAUUUUGAUGCACUAUAGAUAGUAAAAGAGCGCAUGCCAAGUUCAUGUGACACCACAUAAAAGUAAUGCGGUCCAAUUAUAUUUACUACAAUGGAUCAUACAGUAAAACAUGUUAUACGCUUGUGAUAAGUGAAUAAAAUUGCUGACGAAGAGCAUAUUUACCACUUCCUGUCAGUAAAUUUUUAUCAUCAUUUGGAAUUUUCAUUUAUGUUCGGGAUAGUCCAAACAAAAAUAAAUGUUAAAAGAUGGAUUCAAGUGGUACAAUGAUUUAUCUGAAAUAAGCCGUCAAAAUUCCAAUUAUGUAGAAUAAUCAUUCUUUUUUUCUUUUCCAUACCUCAAUUUGUCUUCGUGUUUUUGCAACAUCAAGAGGACAUGUAGCACCAGCAGCAAGGCUUCCGGCAACAAAACCAGCAGAAAAGUUUGCCCCAAGGACACUCACAACAUUAGCAUCAUCUUGCAUCAAACCAAGAAGCCUCCUCCUUACCUACCCAAGUGUCAUUUUCAAAUUUAGCACCUCGUAUCAUAGCAAAUGAGUUGUUAUAAGAACCAGUAUCAGUAAAGAGUCAGAAGAAACCAAGAAAACAGAAUCUCACCGGCUCAAGUGUUGACCAGCAGAUUGCGGAAAAAGGAACAUCACGUGCAAUCUGAGCACCAAGGCCAGUCCACAACACACGGUAGCUUUGUACUGUAAGAGUUUAUAAUACAUUGAGAAGAACAAGACUACAAAAGCUUGUAACUGAUAGAAUAAGCAGAAGGAUUAGUUAUCAUUGAGAAAGAAAUAGGAUGAACUUGUAUAAGUGCUAGUCCAAAGCUUUGAAAAUAAAUUUACAAAUUCAUAAAAACUUUCUAAGGGUGUUACAAAGUAAUCCAACUCUCCAACAUUUUUUUUUUGCUCAACAAAAAUGAAUAUCGAUUGCAGAAACAGAAGCAGCGCAUUCUCUGAAGAAGUCAGACACAUACAACAAAUGAAGGAUAAUUAAUUCUUAGGGAAAAUUCAAAAAGCAAAAUAUGACUGACACAGCUUACAUGGAUGAAAGUUAACACCUUAAAAAUAGACAUGCAGCUCAAACAUCAUGAAAUAGGCAUGAAUCCCUCCUGAACAAUCUGAAGAAGCACAAUUCUACUUACAGCUCUGGUUAUUAGGAGUGCUCUUGACGUUGGAGGUAAGCUCAAUUAAAGUCUUCCAAAUUCCUGGAGGCUUCUUGGUAAUGUGGGUAUCCUUGAAUGCCUGAACUGACAAAAGGAAAACAUGGAGACACUUCUUGCAAAGUAGGGAAGUAACAACUAAGAAAACAGGAAACUUAAGAAUAUUGAGCCUGUAUAUAGCAGUCCAAAGCCCUACAAUCCAAUUCUAGGUAUAUCUCUUCGUUGUACACUCAAUACCAUUCAAUCCUCCAAUUACAGAAAACACUCUCCAGAUUAAACAAAAGAAAACCAAAUAUUAGCUAAUAUGACUAAUCAUACCUGCAUCCGCGUUUUAGCAAGUUCGAUAGGAUAACAACUUAUGCAAGCCAAUGACCGUGCUAAUGAACCUGCUACUAACGGUGCAUAUAAUGUAAGGCUUGGAGCAUUCUGCAAAGUGAAUUCCUCUAACUGAUUGCGGAAAAUAUCAUAGCAAGGAAGAUAGAUCCCAACCUGUUGAAAACAUUGAUGCAGUCACGUUUAUUAGAAACAAAACUGCAAAGAUGUUCAUGCUGAACCCAAAAAAAAAAGGGUAUACAAGCAUCUAAACUGAGCUGCAAACCACUUACUGUUGGUACAGCCAACGCUAAUCCUGCAUUUGUUCCUCUCCAUAGCCUGGCAAUUCCUUCCUGCAAGAGAAAUCUACAUUAGAUCUAAAGGAUUAUAGAACAGAAAUGACAAACAAGAGGACGAGUACUUUUCUGGAACAUGAAGCUAUAUCAUGUCCUCAUAGAUGCUCUGCACCAACCCGAACCUCUCAGUUCUACCAAUUAACCAUUGUAGACAGAUUCAAUCAUCACAUACAGCCAUCUCUCCAGACAUCAAACAAAGGGAAAACUAACCUGUCGGAUUAUUUUAUAAAACACAUCCAAGGUCCCUUUAUAGUGGAAGCAAUCAGGUGGGCAUAUUGAUACCGUACCAUGUACACCAGCACGAGUGCAUGAAGGAGAACAUCUUAAAUCUGCAAACAUCUGAAGAAACAAAUCUGAGCAAACUAAGACAAGCGAAAAGAACAGAAUUGACAAGACAAAACCAAAAAGAAAGCUAGGAAAGCAAAGAAAUUUCAAUCAAACAUGUUAAACCAGUUACUAGUAUUAAGUCAGGAAUCCAUCAAUUUAAAUAAAGAUUAUGCCAAACAGCAAGAUGACCUGUAAUGACAUACAUGCUUAUACUUUCUGUGGACUCGAGUACAAAAAGCAAAAGGAAAAAUAAAUUCCAGUUACAUGGUGACUUGGAAAGGAGGAAACAACAAAUUUGAGAAAUAAGGAAAAAGAAAGCAGUUAAUUCUUUUUUAUUUUUAUAAUGAUAAAGUUCCUUAUAAGUACAAUCUCCCCUCUCCAAAACACUCACAUAAAAAUUAAAUAAUAAAAAAAAAACUCUUGUGAACAAAAAGUUAAUCCAGAAAUCUACAAUUAUUUCUCUGAAGUUCAGAUUACUAAGGAAUAAAAGGCCAACACAAGGCAUAACCAAGAGAGGGGUACAAAAGUCACCAUGUUUGGUCCAAACACUGCCAUGCGACUUGUAAGGUUACUUAGUGGAUGUGAGUAUGGAACCCCGGCCGCCUGUGCUUGCAAUCUUGUCUGAAAAUAUGAUUGAACAACAGUGAGUAAACAAAAUGCAUGAAAACAUAAACAAACAAGCACUCAAAGAUAAGGAAAAAUUACUCAACUACUACACAUUAUACUUUCAACCACACAUCCUAAAUAUAUAUAAAAAGGCAAAAAAGUUAGAAUGCAACGGAUUUACCAAAAUCUAUAACAUAAAAUGAAGACAAAAUGUAAAAUUACACUAUUCAACAUGACCGCCUCAUCAAACAGAAUUCAUUUCCUGUAGCCUCAAAGCUACAUUGACUUAAACACUAAGCAAAAAGUCAAUUCUACUAAAGAACUGUAAAAAAAUAAUAAUAAUAAAUAAAUAAAUAAAUAAAUCCCACAAUCAUAGAUUACAGCGUUUGCUGAUUAUAGCACAAAUUACAGAAAUAUAAAUUAGAUAACACCCCGUGACUGGGUUCUCCGUGACCAAAUGACUUAUGCAGCUAUUAAAAGAGUAUAACAUGCAAAGAACUGGUACCUUGGCAACAUCAAGAGGGUUGACAAGAAUAGCCGAGAAAACAGCAGCUCCUGCAGCAGAGAAUGCUCUCUCAAAGAAGUCCAAUUUGCCAUCAGAGAUAGUCGUGGAAUGUUGCAGUUGAUGUUCCUGAGGCUGAAAUGCUUCGAUGUCAACUAUGCUUGAGGACUGCGCUGCAGUAUUCAACCAUAGAUUCUGGCUCUGCUUCAAUUCGUCUACCAUCUCCUAUCUCUCCCUUCCCCUCUCCCUCCUAUAUCUCUAACCAAAUAAUCUUUAAUCCUCAAGUCAAAGAUUGAUCAACCUGAAAUAACAAAAAUCUAAACUUUUUUAUUUCUCAGCUGAACAAAUUAGACUAUAAUAUAAGGACAACAAUGCCUAAUUUUGAACAAUCCCGCCUCCCAAUCAAACCCUCUGUAUAAAAGAGGCGAUCUUCUGGUCCUAGAAAUAUUGCUUGAUUUUGGCCAAAAAAAAAAAAAAACUAAAAAUUUGGCGAGCCCUUCUGGAAAGACAAUCGUGCAGCUGACUAAUACAAUAUGCUCUACAUCAUCGAGUUUCGAGUUCUAAACCAAAAAAUAAAACUAAAAUGCAACAAAAUGAUUUAAAGCUUAACCCAUUUAUAAUUCAUUCAAAGAGUUGUUAAUAUGUCACGGGCUGUUUAUAAUUCAUCAUUUUGUAAACUGAAUCAUGAACAAUCUUUUAAAAAGAAAUUACACCUUUAUUCUGAAGCAAAAAGAUGCAGUAACAUGCCCUAAAAAAAGGCAGGGAUUUACCACCCAAAAAAAAAAAAAAGAAUAGACAUAAACGAAAAAAGAAAAAAAAAAGAUGUGAAACCCUCCGACCCUGACUAUGAUGAAGUGCUAGUGUGAAGGUACGACGAACACCUUACGUACUAAAGCGAAGUGGAAGGACUUCCAACUUCCAAGUUGCUUGGAGAAGAGGAUACAGCGAGAGACAAGUCUUUUUCCGCCCACGAGAGCGAGAGAAAACUGCUACAGCCUCUACAGAAUCCAGAGAGAGACCGAGAGCGGGGCAAAUACCUAUCUCAACUUAGGGCUGCGUUUGGGCCACCUGUAUUUUUCUAGCCUAUAAAUCGACUUUACAUUUCUCCAGAGCCACGUUGUAUGGUAUGGUGUAGGCGAAUUAUAAACCACGCCUUCCUGGUCAAGCACUUCGGACUCCGGAGGCAGGAGUAGAGAUACUUUUUUUUUUAAUUAGAUUUAAUUAAGAGUAUAAACGCUGUGUCAACUUGAAAAAAAAAAAAAAAAAAUCUCUCAUCUUGUGAGGAAAAGAUAAUUUAAUAUUAAAGAGAACUUUCAGGAACUUUUAAGAAUUUUUAUCAGUUAAUCCAUAAUACAGUCUUAUGUUACUUUGUAUAAAAUUUCUCACGUUUUCACUUGGCUUAGUUUUGGUCCUAAAAUACAUCUAUUUUCCACUUUCCAUAUGAAUGCAAUGAUGUCACACCAUAUCCAUUAAGAGAUUAUACGAAAUGCCAACAAGUUUUGCAAAAUAUCUUCUCAUGAUUUAUAUAUAGAGUAAACUUUAUAUACAUCAACUGUGCAUAUAUUAUCAUCAUUUGAUUUAUGACAUGUGUACAAAAAUUGAAUUUCAAAUUUAAAUUUUACAUAGUUGUCAUUCAUCAAACGCUGAUAGUGUAUACACUGUCAGUAUAAAAAAAUUAAUCAUAUAUAUAUAUAUAUAUAUAUAUAUAUAUCAGCGUACCAAAUCUUAUUUGAAAAGAAAAUUUGAAAAUGCACAAAGAAAUUAAAUCACUUUAUCUUGGAAACUUACAUACAACAAGCUACACAAAGAGAAUGAUAGGUUAGUUAUAUCAAAACCAUCGAAAAAGCUAAUAUUUAAAGUGUAGGGAUUGAAAGUAAUAAGGCUCCCAAAACAUUGAAAUAACUAAUUUAACUUUCAAAAAAUACUUGAAAUUGCAAUAGGCCGAAUGGUCAGGCUUAACACCAUCUAUGACUUAAAUCGUAUGAUCAGAAAGGUUUGGUACUUUUCUACAGUAUUUUUUAAGCAUUGAAAUUUAGAUUUUUAAGUCUGUCUAGAAUUAUGUCAUCGUUUACCUUAUUAGUUUGUCAUUAGUUAAUUUAUAGGAUCAACUUAAAUGUUUAGAUUAACUAGAGUUUUGGAGCAAAAGGGGUAGAAAUUAUUGGAGGGAAAAUCAGUGGUAAAAGUGUUUUUGCCCUUUCUUUGUUCAGAGACUAUAAUACUUUUAAUAUUUGUUCGUGCGUUUCGCAAGAUAAUGCUUCCCGUCAAAUUUAACUGCUAGAUUUGACAGAAGAGUCACGAAUAUUUUAUUUUAUUAGAUUGAGAGUCAAAACUUUAUUGUUAAUUGUUAGAGGUCUAAAACUUUACCUGAUAAAGAGUUGGAGGGUCAUUGAGACUAUUUUCCCUUUAAUUUUUUAUUUGAUGUAACAACAUGAAAAACUAAUUUUUAAUAAUAGAAAAAUAACCAUGAAAAAGAUUAAGGAUAACUAUAUAUUAAACUUCGUAAGAAUAGAAGAUUGAGUAAAAACGGAAUCCAUAAAUUUCAUUCCCUAACGAGUACUCAUAUUUACAUGAAAGUAAAGUAAUAAGCUGUUGCAUUUAACUUGUAUUACACAUGGUAGUUGUCUGUUGUAGCAGCAGCAGCAGCAGCAGUAGUAGUAGUAGUAGUAGUAGUAGUAGUAGCUUUCCUUGCAUUGUCUUUGUUAUCUUACAGAUAGGUUGAGAACUGCAAAAUUGCUAGAUAUGUUAUUAGAUUAAAAUCUCAGUUUUAAUUUGUUCAAAUCAUUAUCUGCCUUCUCCCAGAACAAAACCUUCAAUUUCGCAAAAAGAUAUUAUGAAUUAGACAAUGAACAAAGAAACUUGACUAUUGCAACUUCCUGCAGACUUUAAGCAAACAUAAGAGAAAUAUCCCCAGCUUAAAAAUGAGAAGCAUAAGAUUAUCCAGAUAGAAAAAAAAUGUAUUUUAACAGGAAGAAAUAAUACAUAAAAGUGCUUGUGCUUAACAAUAUAUGACAUUGGAUAGUACUAUUUAAUUCUUGUACACAAUAAAAUGAUACUAAGAAUAGAAUCAAAUCAUACGGGUGAAAAUCAAGACUCACAAGCUACUACUACCAACAAACAAAUAAUAGUACAAUUUAAAAAGAAAUAAUCAUCAAAUACGACAAAGAAAGUUUGGAAUUCAUUGUUCAACACUAAAGAAGCUAGAAUUUGAAACCUUAUAUAAAACGUGUUUAGCACCAACAUAAAGCAUGAGUCUUCAUAUUUUAUCAUUUUCAGGAAACUCUUUUCCUGGACAAAUAUUACAUAAAAAAUGCAUUUAUGAAGUCAUAAAGGCAGAAGAAUAAACUAUAUUGUUGUUUAAAUGUCUAUAGGAACUUUCAUCUCCAAACAGAAAAUUAAGAAAAAUAACUGAACAGAAAGAUAAUUAUGAGAAAAUUGUGUGCAUGACAAUGAUUUAACAAUCUAAACAGACAAUCUAAAGUAAUAGGAGCUCCACCAAGUUUCCAAAAGUUAGGAGAAUUUCAAUUGUACUUAAAGGUCUACGGGACAACAUGAUCCCAACGUUUAGAAUUUGAUCAUCAGUGCAAAAAUUGCAACUAAGGGGGAGAGGACUUUAGCCAACUACUUGUUUGACUAUUGGAGAUAGAUUUACUUGGAAUUUCAAUUCUUAUUGGUAGUUAUUUUUUAUUGGUUUCAACCUUCCAAUCAUCCAUAUUCAAGUCAAGUACUUUGAUGAAUAGCUUAAGCAAACAUACAAACGAAUACAUGAAAGAAUAAACUUCGAUGCAAACUCAAAUAAUUAGGACAAAGUAUUAACUACCAAUUCAAAAUGACUCGGAAUCUAACUAUCACCAAAAUCAAUUGCAUAAAUGAAUCACCUUAUUACCAAAGCAAACAAUUAGAUAAGAAAUCAUACCAUUCAAACAAUUCAAUUGCAGUAGAAAAAUCAAUUAUAGUAUAAACCACACCAUAAUGCAUCAAUUGCAGUAGUUUUUUUGGCUUACCUUGUUCAAAUACUCCAUGCAAAAACUUUUUUCUCAUAGUUGUUCCAAACAUAUUCCAACAAAAUCACACUGUUUAAAUUGUACAUAGCAACCAAAUUUGUGGGAAGCAAUAAUAUUAACAUUAAAUUACGCUAACAGAGUAUCUAAUUUCAAAAUAGAAGCUUUAGCUCACAAUAAAAACUAUGAUUUUACAAAGCAAAUCAUACAAUAAAAAAAAUAAUAAUAACUCACCUCAAACUAAACCACCAAAAAUAAUUUCAGCAUAAAAUCAUAUUGAAAUCUAGAGUACAAUGAUAGUACAAAUAAGUAUUUAUUGAAAGAUGAAAGGAACAUAAUGGAAAAAUGUGAAGGAGAGGACAUUUGAAGAAUUGAAUAUGAAACUGAUGCUUGGUCAUAAAUUCCUUAAUAAACGCUUUAAUUGAAAUGAAAAUGGCAUUUGAAUGUCUUCAAGUUAUAAUAGUAAAGCAAUGGUAAUAAUCGAUACUACUUAUAAUUUAACUAACACAAGUCAAUCAAUGCCUCUAUAAGGACAUUUAAGUAAUUACACCAAUAAAGAAACUAUUAUGGAUUAUACCAAUUGUAAAAAAAACAACCACAUAAUCACACAUUCCCAAAAUACCCAAACCUUUGAACAAAUCACAAUAACAUUUCAGUAAAUAUAAAAAUACACAUGCUUUCUUAAGUAGUACCUAACCUUAUAACUACACUCAAAAUAACCUUACAAUCCUAAUAUGCCCAUACUCUUACGAUUGAAAUUCAAAGCCAUUCUUUGAUGUAAAUUCAUUCUUAUACAGGAUACGGAUUUCUCAUAUGAAUUCUUAAAUUACCGUUUAGCACUUUGUAUUAAUUUUCUAAAAUAAAUGGUCUGACUUUAUUACAAUAAAAGUAAAAAAUGAAAAUAAUUGAGGGGAGGCUUCCAAAAUCUAAUAAACUAUCCCUCGUGCAUUUAUUCCAUUGUCAGUAGUAGUUUGUGGUGUGGACAAUGCCAUUGUCUAGAGCUUUCCCUGCCGUAUCAGGCGUGACCAAAAGCGUCUAUGAGGCCGCCCCGUGGCUGACUCCGAACGAGAAGCAUAAACUGAUUUAUCCUUUUUGCAUGGCCGAAAUUUCGGUCCCUUGUUUGCGGAUUAUUAGGUUCAAAUUUUUAAUGGGUCUUAAUCUUUAGGAUCCUAGAAAUAAUUUGAUGUAAUUUAAUUGUAACUUUGUCUGGGUCUCCUCGUGGAGAAAAUAGAGCAGAAAAUUUGGAGUUUUGAAUUUCUCAUUUGAUCCUUUGAUUUAUGUUUAUGUGAUGACUUUUUUUUUUGGUUUGACUUGAAGCUUAUAACACGUUUGAAAUAAUUUGAGAGCUUGAUUGAUAUCGAAAAUCAAGUUUUAAAUUUUGUCGAAAUAACUUUUCAAUGAGUUAGAUCCAAAAAAUCUGCAAAACCCAAUGGAAAGGUGAAGGGAUCCAGAAUUCGGCCAAAAUUCAGUCAGAAAAAAAGUUGAUUAAGAACCAAAAGCGAGCGUUUUAUGUUUAUUAAUGAUUAUAAUAACUCAUUUUAAUUUUGAGAGAUUAAAAUUUUGCAUAUGUAAUGCACGAGGGACAAUUGGUGUAAUUUUCCCUCCUUGUUUUACUGUACAUUUGCUUUUGCUGCAGUUAUCGCUCCGUGCUUUUCCAGUUACCGUCCGACAACAGUGCACCAUGAAAAUUUAGGGACCGACCUGGCCAACUUGUGAAAUUCCAAAGUGCUCUGUAACAGAUUCCCGCCAAUUUGGCGGGCGUCACCGUACGCCAAGCAUGCAUCGCAUGUUGCGCAACCGCCAACUUUUAGGAAAAUUUAAAGUAUUAAUUGCAAGAUGACCCCUUAGACUAUGGGCAUUUGAAGAUUAUGCCCCCUAUCUAUGAAUUACCCCGUUUGUUGAAUAUUUUUCAUUCUCCGAUACAAAAUAAAAUGCUAUUGGCAAAAGAUCGUCAAAGGGUGUGAUUGUCUUAGUAUAUUGGGUAAAUUGUGAUUUCACCCAUCAACUAUAUGUGUGCUAAGCACCUUACACCCAAAAUAUUGAUCUCUUCAUAUCGUUAUCUUGAAUUUUCAAUUUUUCACACUUUAGUCUGAUUACCCGAGCUUAAUCAGUUUAAGGCAUUGGGUAAGAAAUUUUUCCUUCUCAAUGCUUUGGCCUACUACCUAAAAUACACUCAAGAGGCAUGGUUUCUCAAAACCUCCUUCGUCAUCCGAAUUGAAAAAAGAACGAUUGAUCGGACUGAGCAAUUUACGAUAGGAGCUCAGGUCAUUGAACUAGAGCACAAAAACUUGGACGUUCAAGCAGCUAAGUGCUGAAAUUGAUGACUUGGGCUACAAAGUGCUAAGUGCACACAGUUGAGUGGUGCAAAAUACAGUGAUCGUAAGUUUUGGGCACUUGGCUUUGGCAUUUGGAAACUGAAGGUGGCUAAGUUGUAAUUGUUCAAACUGAUUACACAGGUUAGACUAGCGGAUUAAGUGAUAAAUGAAGGACAUGCCUAGCCACCCAACCCAAAAUUUAAAUGAUUAAUUUAUUGUGGGUGAUUUGGGAGUUGUGAGUCUUGAGUUGAGAGAGAGAGAGAGAGAGUGGAAAGAAAGAAGGGAAAAACGUAAGAGGCCCCCCACCGUCAUUGCUCAUCAUCAUAGACUGCGACUGCACCCCAGAAAAAAGAGGAAGAAAAAAAAAGAAAAGAAAAAGAGAAGGCCAGAACCCUAAAGACACUGGAUUUUCUUUCCUCCCUUCCCCAACCCAGAAGCUAGGAAUCGAACGAGGUUUACUGCUAGUAGUGAUAGUAUCUAGGGACAAUUACAGACACGACUACUAGAUAAGUUCUAGGACCGUAAACUGCUGGUUGUAUUUUUUUUUUGGGGUCUUUUUUCAAUGAAAUGGGAGAUGGAAGUGGAAGAGAUCGAAGCGGUGCUAGAGAAAAUCUGGGACUUGCACGACAAGCUCAGCGAUGCCAUUCACUCUAUUUCCCGAGCCCACUUCCUCAGUUCCAUCAGGUCCCACAACCGCAAAUCCAACGACGACGCCGCCUCCUUCCAAUUCCACCACAGAAAGAAAACCACUCCUGAUGCUUCUUCUGCUAACGGAGAGCAUAACUCUGACAAUAAUCGAACCACUGGAUUCGUUUACAUUAAGGAUUAUAAUCUUGGGAUGGGGGUCGAUGCUGAUGACGCCGCGGCGCUUCAGGAAGCCAAAAGCCUAAAUGCUAUCCGCACCGCCCUUGAGAACCUUGAGGACCAGCUCGAGUUUUUCCACGUAGGUCCUAGAUUUUUCAAUCUCCAUUUCUUUUAUUUUUAACUACCAUACGAUGAUUUUGUUUUUUUUUUUUUCAAAACAACUCCUCUUAAUUUGGCCUUUGAGAUAAGAAUCGAAAAGCAAGCUUCUUGCUGUUGUCAUUGCUUACGGUGAAUAGGUUGAUUUAUUCGGAAAGAGCUAGAUUACAAAUAUUCUACAUAACAGGAAAUUUCGUUACUAUCGUGCUAUUGUAAAUUUCCCCUUGAUGAAGCUAUUUUAGGUUAUAAUUACGUAUUAAUCUCUUUGGAAAUCUGGAAUGUAUCGCUGUUUUGUGCUGUGGAUGUUAGCUAAAUCUCAGACUUGGUUGCUCCUUUGAGAUAAGAAGAGGAGUGGGGUUUGGUUUAUUUUCGAACUUGGGCGUUUAGGAUAUUAUUACUUACCUGGCCCUUACUGGGGAGUGAGCAGCUGAGGAGGCGAAUACGCACAAAAAAGAAUACGUGGACUUAAUAAUUGCUACAUUUUGCAGCAAUAUGCUUCCUUGUUUUGCUGCUAGCUUCAUUCGAUCGGUGAGUCAAUUGACUUGUACAGAUAUAGUUGCUGUGUGUGCUAGAGCAUUUUAGUUUCUGCCCAAUGAUGUUUAGAAGAGUGAAUCAUUUGAACUCUUCGCAUGGAACCAGCCUUUCGAAAAGGCCUGUUAUAAAUUUUACCAAUUAUACCAUCUUUUAUGUAUCACAUUGUGAAAAAUCACCUGGGGAUGACCAUCUGAUUCAGUUGGCGUAGUUUAGCUCUCAAGAGUCUGGGUAGAUAACCUAGAAGCUGUAUGCAUUAUUGGUUAAGUGAGGAAAAGCUUUGGUGUUUUGAUUCUUGAGGUUGGAGUCCUAUCUUCAUAUGCUACACCAAUGAUAAUUAAAUUCUACCUUGGUGCUGCGACGUUGAUUGAAAAACAGAAACUGUGCUUUUGGUGCUGUCUGAUUGUAGAAUUCUGUGCUUACCAUGGUUGUGCUUUUAUAGAAAACAAAUUGUUCCUCUGUUUUGGUGAUGGGGUGAUGGGUUGUUUCAAGAUUUUUUAUAAUGCAAAGUAACAGGCUUGCUUUGGAGAGAGACGAGGCUAUUGUUUGUAACAAGAUGUUUUGGUUCUCAGAUUUGUGAAUGCAAAUUGGGUCUCAAAUUCUGGAACUUCGUUGUUAUAGCUGAGAGCUCCAUUAUGCGGAGAAAUCAAGAAUAUGCUUUUAGAAAUUCUUUGGACAGAUGGAUCUUGUGAUACCGGGCCUUCUUAAGAAUCUCUCUGUUCUUCUAUUCCCUAAAACUGUUUGUCGUUUUCUCAUUAUAACGUCUUACAUCCUGGUUGAUUUCCUUGUAGCUUUUAUUCUCACGGUGCUGGAUAUAAUUGUGCCAUUGUUUGUAAGUAAUCAUUACUAUUGGGUAUUAAAAAGAAUUUAGAAUUCCAGUUGGCGAGGGGCAAUUCUUUUCGGUAGACAUGGAAGCAGUUUUAUUUAGUUAAAAAACAUAUUGUCUUGAGAGAGUAUCAUCCUUGCUUCUGAGGAACUUUUGGCUGACCUUCAUGGAUCGUUGCAUGAAAAACUUGUCAUUUUAGAAUGGUUGUGUUGUUGUUCUGUUUUGCAGACCGUACAAGCACACCAACGGGCAGAGAGAGAUGCUGCCCUUGCUCGCUUAGAGCAAAGCCGCGUUGUUCUUGCAAUGAGAUUGGCUGAACACCAGGGCAAGAAGUAUAAAGUCAUUGAGGAGGCACGAGCUCUGGUGGGAGAUGUCUGCAAUGCUAGCUGCUUUGUUUCACCUGAAAAUACACCGGUGGCAUCUCCCACUGGUGAGAAAUUUGCAUCACCGAAAGGGGAUAGGUCAAACGCAUUCGUCAAGGUCUUUCUGUCUGGUUUUAGGUUUGUUAAAAAAUCUCUAAAGCUGGAUCAGGUGGGUGGGAUUCUAGGAAAUGCAGCUCUGGUGGCAAUGAGCAUGCUUGCAUUAAUGCAUCUGCAUCAAGUAGGCCUCAAGGACAAAUACAUUGUGGAGUUCCCACAAAGGCAGGAAGAUCUGUACAACAGAAACAUGACCAGAGUUUCUCGACAAGAGGGUUCCCGUAGUGGUCGUUCAACCCAAUUGGAUGUAUUGUUGGCGAGGGGCUAAAUGAAUGGCGGGGGGUUGGACUUAGUUGAUAAUUGUGAAUCUUUUAGGCGUGCAACACGGAAAUAUAGAUGUUACGGGAGAGUCAGUAGGAUAUAUCUUGCGCUUGGUUUGCUUAGCAGUCCAAAAUGUCGCGGCUCCAGCCUUUUUUAUUUUUUAUUUUUGCCUGCUGAAUUUUGGUCGUUGCGUUCCUUCUAAAUUGUCCAUUGAUUGUAUACGGUAUAGCUUUGCGUUCCUAAAUAUGUCUGUGAUAUAAAUACUAUCCCUGAAGGUUGUAAUGGUUGGACGCUAUAUGUAUUUAUGUUGGCGACUGAGAGUACGCUCCUGGAGACUGUCUUUGUGAUGAUAUUUGCCUCGACUAACCAAUUACUUCUAUUCGGUUCUCGUGGGGCGAGAGGUUAGGGGUUUAAAAUUUUUUUUCCAUCAAAAAGUUGUCAUUUAUGACUUCCCUUAUAUUCAUACGAAUGUCUCUUGCAUUUGAAUGAUUUGACGGCAGUUUAGUUUCUGUCGGAUCUUGAUAGCUCUGUUGGAUCACUCUCUUAGUAUAGGUUAGAGUUCCUGAUGGAUCACCUUUUUAGUAUAGAUUAGAGUAGGAGUAAGUGUAGAUGAUAAUAACAAACAAAAAAAAAAAUUAUAUAUAUAUAUAUAUAUAUAUUUGCUUCGAUUUUGUACAAUCCAGAAACGUGUAUAUGUAUACGGUUGUUGGGGGGCUCAUGCGUGCAUAAGCUGUAUAGUCAGAGAUAUAUAGAAAAGAGGACUAGCUGACGUCACCAGCCUAAGUGAAUGUGAACCCGGAUGCGUGCGGCCAGACUUGUCGCAGUGUCCUAAAUCUGUCCCUGGAAAAGGUCCAAGGCCCAUUGACAGCGCUUUGUGCGGCGAGGCUAGUAGCAGUGUACUAAAUCUGUCCCUGGAAAAGGUCCAAGGCCCAUUAACAGCUCUUUGGGGCAGCUGGGCCGUUGUCUUUUUCUUUGAUAAAUAAAGAUGCUUUAAAAUAAAGUCAAGUCAACAGAGUGCAAAUUAAGGUACAGUCAUUCGUGGUGGGGUGGUAACCCCCUUUACAGUCAUCUGGGCCGUUGUCUUUAAAUGUCACGUGUUAAGCUAUGAAUUGUGAAGCAGCAGUAAUGGGUAAAUUUGCGAUGAAACUUUUCUGAAGCGGAGAUUUUUCUUUUUCUUAAUUGAAUCUCGGCCAUUGAAUCUCAGCUACUGAUUUGUUAAAGCUAAUCUGGCCAUUGAAUAUUGAAAUAGAAAUUUCCAAAUUUGGGUUGCUCUGUUAGUGUUGAUUACUGUAUUAUCUAAUAGCAGCUGCUAAUUGCAGAUGGCCAAUGCAGAAAGAAAAGUGUCGUUGGAAAAUUCCGAGCAGAAGUCUCCUUUUGACUCGCAGAAGGAAUGUUGAAAUAAUCAUAAUAAAAAGCAGGCUUUGUUCAUGGAAAGGGGGCGGGUUACGUUUUCCAUUUUUCCCCGUUGCUGGUUGGGGCAUCAUCUCAUCUGUGAUGUGGACACAGACCGAGACGACGCUCGAUCGACGGCCACACCACACAUUCGCCUUAGAAAUAUAAAAAAAGAAACGAGAAUUUGGGGUGGGGACCAGAAAAAGGCCAGCUGGCUGUCCCUUUCUGAUUUCGCUCCUGCUUUUCUUUUUCCCCGUCUUCUUCGACGAAUUCUAGUCUAAAGUCGAACGAUGCGAUGCGAGAUGUUGGUGCGUUUUCUUCUUCUCCGAGCGCAGUAAUUAUUAAUACUUGUAUUCUAAUACAGUCAAAUCAAUAAGAAGCAAAUUUGCCAUGAACUUUCUCUUUCUUUUUUAAUAAUACUUCAGUCAAAUCAAUAAGAAGCUUAUUCUUUGCUGGAAAGAACUUACAGCACGGUGGCAAGUUUCUGCGUCAAAAUAUUACGAAAUGCUUUGCACGACGACACACGGCCAAGUUGUGAUGCCGUCUUAAAUCAAGCUUUCCAGUGGAAACACGACGGUCCAUCUUCCCACUUCUUUUUUUUUUUUUUAGGAGAAUCAUCAUGCUACAACAGAGUGGUGUGUGUGAUGUUGCAAAAUGUUCUAGUCAAGAAGUCAACAGGUAUGCAGCGCCACACCAAGUAAAAAUUAAAAUAAAACCAGUAAAAAUAGUUGCGGAUAUUUUCAAUGUGAAAUGCCAGUUGUUAGUUACCCCUGGAGGCACCCUUUCCUUCAUCUUUUUUUUUUCUUCUCUUUGGGUAUAAAUCUCAAGUAUUCACAUCAGCUUCAUGACCUGUUCGAAUCGAAUCGAUCUGAUCUCCUGCAACAAAAAUUCUCCCAACGUUAUCCUUCUUAUUUUCACGAGCUUCCACUCGAAUUCGAAACCUCGCGGUGAUGAAGGGGACGCAAGCCCUUUCCCUUGUUGAUCUUUCCGUCAUGUUUCAAACCGAUGGAUGAGGCGAAGCACGAUAGGAGAUGGAUGGGUCCAGUCCACUACCAUGACUAGGUGGCGCCUCGCACCUGAUGGGCCAUACAUACUAAGAAGGCUUUCGACGUUUUAACCACUCAGCCGAAGAUGACAGCAAAAUCUCACCGGUGGUGGUCAUCCUCCACGUAUGAAUUGUAGACAGGCAUCUGCAUUUGUCGACCCGUGAAUCUCAAAACCACUAAAAUCAUCAUUCAUACCUCUCUCUUCACACGUAGUAAAUACCAAGACAAGACAAACACAGCAGAUUUAAGCACUGGGACAAUAACCUGUAAGAACACAACACGAUAAAGUUCCUUAAUAAAUUUAAAGUAAUUGUAUUUUUAAGCGAAAAAUAAAAUUAAUUUAUUUUAAUUAUUUCUAAAUUGCACACGCGCCUUUAAACGCUAAUUUCUAUCAAUCAUCAUUUAGGCGUCAAAUGUUGUUGCAAGGGCAAAAAUUUCAGGUGGAAUAAUCUAUAAUUUGCACUGACCGUGCCUUCGGCGGGAGAGAAAGAGGCGACAGCCGGCUGGAAAAAGGCCAAAAACCGCAAACAAUAAAUAUCGGUCAAAUUUGGAAUAGUGACGAUCGAGGCAGCGAGGAACGCUAAUAGUAGUAAUGGAGGGGCGGAAACUGGAAAGUGUGGUUGGCGUCGGUCGUUUACGUCUGAAAUGGUCGGCCAUUAAUGCAAUGAUGGUCGGUCGUUUACGUCUGAUUUUGCCGAAAGAAACAUCAUUGCCGUUAGUUUAGCAUGAUUUGAUGGCGUUGUAGGUUAAAACUAAUUCUUGAGUCAAAAAUGAUAUAUGUACUACUCUUCGCCAAGGACCUUUUUCGUCUCAUCUUGGAUUUUCUUUCUUUUUUUUUUUUGGCGGUGUAAAUCCAAGAAAUAUUAAAUUAAACUUAAUUCAAAGAUACAACAGUUCUGGGGAAACCGUAUAUUCCUGUAUUCUUUUUUUUUUUUUUAACGGCAACAAUUAUAUUUCUGUAAGCUAUUGUAUCUUAAUAUAAGGGGAGCCGGGAGGGGAGUCUAGAGAGACUGUGUAUAAGGAAGGGUUUAGUAGGUAUAAGAACCUAUUAGACUAAAGAGAUAUUAUGACAUCUCUUUUAAAUUUUUUUCAUUACAAGUAAGAUUCGAACUCCUAACCUAGGAUCCAAAGAGGGACCUUAGUCCUUUUUUUGUGUUCAUUACAAGUAAGACUCGAACUCCUAACCUACGAUCCAAAGAGGGACCUUAGUCCUUUUUUGGUGGCCACAGAAUCAAAGCUCAUUGGCUUGCAUCCCUGCAGUCUUGUUCCCAAAUUGGGCGAGGACAAUUAGCAAAAGUACAAAUGCGAGCUACACGGCAGGAGACUGAGGCUCCAUGUUUUGGUAGCGAAUCAGCACACUCACUUGCUUCCCGAAAGGCACGUUUGACAGAAAUUCCUUGGAACCUAGAGAGAAGGAUCCUGAAAUCGGAUGGAAAAGCAUCGAAGGAACUUUCAGAUUGAAUAACGUGUUAGAGUUCUUAUCUUGGAUGAUGUACUGAUAUUUCCAUUUUGCUCUUAUAUUUAGAACAAAAAAAAAAAAAAAAGGAAGCAACAGGCAUGUUUAUGUUGGGACUAUAUCAAGUGGAACGGAUGAGUGUGAUAAGAUAAAGAGUAAGACAUUGUGUAGCAAAAAGGUCUAAAAAAAAAUUAGGUUAGAAUCCGAAAUGGUUGUGUUGAAAUGCUUUUUUUUUUGUUAAUUAUACUUGUGUAUUAAUUAAAUAUUUGUGAUCUUGAUGUCAGUAAACAUUUAUUAUGCUAAGAAAUUCUCGCUCUAGCGACUAAUAUUGAGGUUUCAAGAAUUAAAGGUUCUGAAUUCGAAUUCCCUUACUCUUAUGUGUAAAAUUUUUUGCAUAUGAUAGGAAAGAUUUACCCUUUUUCUUUAAACAGUUGAUUAAGUUUUUGAUAUAUGAGCCCCCCCCCCCCCCCUUUUUUUUUUGUCAGAUUUAGAAACUUAAACGGGUCUUCGAGUUGAUACCUGUAUCACGAUAAAUGCUUCGAGCAAGAUAGGGGGACUCGAUCCUCUCCAAGGAAAAAGAAGAAGAAGAAGAAUCAAUAAAUAAGAGGAUGGAAUAAAUUGAAAUAAAUGAGCAGCAUAUGUGUGUGUACUUGCAUGUUAACUACCAAGAAGAAGCAGAAUCUAUGAGAAAUGGACGUAAGAUUGUGGCAUGGGGACCUCUAGGCCUUUGGCGGUUGGGGGAGGAUGAUGUGUUGAAGUGCAAGUGGGGACCGAAACCAAAUAGAUGACUGGGAUUGAAUUGUCAUUGUUGUUCAUUUAAUUGCAUUACGAUCGAACACACUUCAUGAGGGGGUGCUCCUGUUUCCUUUAAUUUUUUUUUUUUUUUUUAGCAGACUUUGUAAAGUCGGCUCUGAGCAUCACAAUUCAUAUCAAGUGUUCAUGUUCAACGGUGGUUCAGAUCUCUCUUUUCUACGUCCUAUUUCUUUCAACACCAAGACCAAUAUAUCAAUCUACACGGCCAACUCCUGUGGCCUUCCUUUCAUCCACAUGAUUUCACUCCCAGGGGGAUGGAGGAUCUGCCAAGAAGUGUGUUCAUCUUCUUGCUGCAUAAAUGCUCUCUACAAUACCUUAAUUAUCCCUACGCUGCAAAGUUUUGCACCUGCUUAUCUUUUCCAUUGAGCUGUAAAAUAGGGAGUAAAAAUUCUGUCAAGGAUUUUCUUCUGCUGCCAAUGCACCGAGUCGUUCAAGCAGUACAAGGCCUGCAGAGCAUAAAAAACUGUUUUAAAGAAAUUUGAGUUAAACAUAUGAAAAAUUAAAAACGAGUUACAAUGGCGCAGAAAAUCCACUUCCCAAUUCAUUGAUAUGCAACCAACUUCCUUUAGAGGAGUUGACCACCACCUUUAGCGUGGGAUGGGAGGAGGUCAAUGGUUCAAACUUUGCCUCCCAUCAAAAAGUUAUCACUUAAUGUGACUUUACUUAGAUCUACGUGGGUGCUUUGUAUACUCUUAUGGUCCGAUGGUGGUUUAGUUUCCAUACAGCCUGCGUAGGCAGGGCAUGUUACCAUCAGUUAUUCACAUGAUUAAGGAAGAGAUACCGAGUUUAGAUGGGACCAAAAAGUUGCUCUAAUUACUACUUGUAACUAGCAAGCGUCCUAGGAAAAGUGUUGUUGUUGUCCUCCUCUUGAGCUCUCGUAAUUCAAGAUUUCUUCUCUGCCAAAUUAAAGUAGUGCGCUGCUGUGAUUAUUAUAGCCAGCUUGCAUAACCUAUACCGGGCAAAUUAAUUAAGGGUAAAACAUAGUACUACUAGUAUACAGAUACUCUUGGAGACCUUGCCUGUAUCGUUCAUACUUGUAAUUUUACCGGGCAAUGGGUAAAAAUUAUGAAAGCCAGCUCACGUGAAAGAAGAUCAGAAGGACAUGAUGACGACAAUUAACCAUAUACGGCAGGGCAAACAGGCUUUAGAAACUAGCUAAUAGUAUAAUCAGAAAAUCAGCACAAUCAUACCGUGAUGAUUUUGCACAGUGGCGGUGUCUUGGUAGCAGCCCAACAGCUGGGGCACUUCCCUGUGUGAGGAUUGGUCCUCUUGUUACGUCCAUGAUUUCCCCUUUGCCUAAUCAGUUUUAAUUGUGAGAUGAUGGCCCAGGCCAGGCCAUGGCCUGCUCCGACACUGUAAUCUUUAACCUUUUCCGGCUCUAUGACCCGUAAGAUGCCGACGUCUGUUAACUUGCCCACCAUUCGCAAGGACGCAUAUAGACAGAUAAUGGUCAGAAUUUUUUUGGAAAAAAAAUUACUACAAAGAUGACACUAGGAUUUCAGUUUACGGCUACUAUCUACUGAGAAGUUUGCAAAGCUGCUGCACAAAUGGUUUUCGUGUCAGGGGGUGCCUGCAAAGCAUGUCCCCUGACCGAUACGGUGGAGGAUAUUGACGUUUAAGAGAAAUCUUCGGGCAAGAUGGAUAUUUGAUUUUCGAGGAUUUGUCUUUUGUUGUAAUAAAAUAAUAAGGGUGCGGUGGUGCAUCAACAGGUUUUCUGAGAUGGGGAUUGGGAUGUUCUCGUCUUCUUCCACGGUGGGAUUUCCGUCUUGUUACCAAACUAUCUAGCCACGAUCGAUGAUCCGUCAAGUGACUUGAAUCUUGUCCCUCUCAAUCUUUUCUUUUUUUCUCCUCAAAAAUCAAUACAAACAUCAAAAAUCUUAAGCCUCCAUUUCAUUUCCCUCCCAUUCCCUCGAAGCAAACAGUGACUUAAUGUCAGAGUCAUACUACUAAUUUGACCAACUGCCUAUUUCCAGCCAAUUUCAAAGGCAGAUCUAACCAAAAAGCUAGAGGACCUCAAAUCAUAAUUAUUUUUUCCAGACAAGAUCUUAAUUAAGAUUAUUCUACACCAAAUACAUUUACCCAAAAAUAUAUCAAAUAAAUUUUUUUUUUUUUGAAUCCUACCCUUCUUGCUUACUCUACUUAUCACACACCACCCCUACCUCACUCCUCAUCUCCCUUCCUUUCCCACCAUCGCUCCUCUUCUUUUCUCUUCUAUCUUUUUCCUAUCCCUACCUUUUUCUCUUGUCCCUUUCCCCUCCCUCCUCAUUCUCUCUCCAUUGAUCAAAUCAAAACUUGAUACCCACCAUCACCACCUUAUCCUUCCUCUUCCAUCUCCUUUUUUUCCCCUUCAUCCCUCAUUUCUCUUUCUUUCUUCUUUCCCCUCCCUCCUUUCCCUUUCCCCUCCCUACUAGAAACCCCGUCUCCCUCCUUUUUCCCUUUUUUGGUCAUGACCAAAAGGAACAAGUGAUGAAUUUUGCAACCCAAAAUGUCAUCGUAUAAAGGGGAAAAAAUGGAAGUACAAUCACUCAAUCUUGCAACAGGUGAAAUAAUCGAAUAAAAUUAAACCAAAAAAAAGGUAAACGAAUCUCUCAACCAAUUGUCCAACCUUCAAAAAAUUAAUCUUUGACUCUUUGUUUCCAGUGCAACCUUUAGUAGAAGCGGUACUUGUGGUCCUUUUGAGGCCUCAGGAAUAAUGCGAAUAUCUAGCGUAACAAAAACCGGAGGAGGAGCACCAACAUGGAACGAAGAAAAAUAUCAGAUGUCAGUCCGAGGGGCUCUCCGCAUAAUAAUAAUAAUAAUAAUAAUAAUAGGAAAAUGUGAUUACGGAAAACGACAUAAUUUUUCGACGAAAAACAGCAAUCCAAACAAGACUGAGCGUGGCAAAAACUACGAAUCCCUGCAAAAUCUUGCCAGAUCCCUACACUCAACGUUCUAUCCAGCAGUGAAAAGGAGAUGAAGGGCACAAGGAGAUGAUGAGGCGAUUUAGCUUAUCACUAUUUCCAAUUCUGAAUAAAUUGGCAGAGAUAUACCAAAGAGGACUGAAAUUGCAGGUUUUAUAAUUCGAUCGAACUACAGACAGAAAAUUAUUCUACCCCAACGGGUAUCAACUUUUUCCAAGGCUUUUGUGGCGUUUACAUACUGCUCGGUACUCGCGCGCACAUAAAAGAAGUAGAUCAAAAUUCACAAUUUAUCAGAUGAAUCGUCUCCAACCAGCUGUAAUGAAAAUCCCUCUUGGUCCCAUUAACUAGGAAGACGACGGGAGUUAGAGAUUCGCUGAAUAAGUUGAGGAGUUUGAAAGGGCACAAAAAAGCAGAUCGUCAUACAAAAGAAUUGCAAGAAUUCUGAAGAUUUGUCUCAACUUAUAUUUGAGCAACUACGACGUAUGUAUGACUUGUGUAUUUUUCUGAAUCGUUAUGCUCAUUUGGUCCCAAAUCUAGACCGAUAAUAGCACGCCCCCGGUACUCUUUCUUCAGAGAUCCUGAGAAGGAAGCCACUUCCGGAAGUUGAGACAGCGCUAGAAAGAACGCAAGAAGUAUCCUACCGCUAGGCUGUCCAGUUGCUUGCCAACCAAUUGAUUUGCACCGCCAUAAAAUUUUUCCACUCCCAACAUAAUGAUGAUGAUAUAGCAAAAGGUGGCUGUCCGCUCUGAUUUGACAUGGACGUGCAUGUUCAACGAUUUAGCCUCUGCAAUCUUUGCUGCCUAAGGUUACUGAAUCAGCCGUCCGAUCCUACCCAGAGUGGUACAGUAGAGGACAAUCGAAUGUUGGAUGUCCAAAAAUCAUCUGAAAAUUCCAGGGUCAAAUAUUUACAUUUACUUGUAGCUUAAUUGCCUAAUUGACACAAUACCUAUAGGCAGUCGCGGAUUUAAGGUGAGAGCACCACCACUGCCCCCUUAAAUUUCUAUACUAUUCAUAGGAUUUUAAUGUAAUUUUAAGUGUGCUUCCGGAAUUUUGUUAUGAAAAAAAUGAAAGAAUUGCUUGAUCCUCUAAGUUGGUUCGUAAACUAACAUUCUAAAAGAAUAUGUGGGUCACGAAAUUUCAUUUAAAAUAAGUUAAAAUAUUUUUUUUUUCAUUUCAACUUAUUAGUGAAUAUUUUUUUUGCUUAAAAAACUAGAAAAUGAAUAGAUUAAAAUUUUUAGUGUUGCUUUUACCCUGACUGAAAAUUUUUUCUGACUCCGCUGCUUCCUACAGGCAACAAACGGGAGAGAGACAAAGCCUAGUUCUGUCUGACUGUCAGCUACUUCCUCCUUGCUUGUUAUGGUAUAUUAUGUAUGCUUCAGAGCAUUUGCAGCAAGGAACCAGAAUGCAUAAAUUCCAAAGUUUCCAAUCCAUUGUAGACUGUUGAGGCUGUUGAUCUCCUGCAACAAUUUCUAUUCAAACGGGUGCAUUGUUACAGAAAUGAUCUGGACGCAUCACAUUAGAUCAUACCCGUAAAACACAUACAGAAAGAACAAAUGAACAGAAGAAACACGCUACUUUUGGAAACUUUGCUUAGUUUAGACAUCAAAUCUAUCAGUGGUGUCUGACUUCUACCAGAAAAUGGAAAAGUUAAUAGCGGCUGACAAUGACAAAUAAGAGUUGCUUUCCAAUUCUAGCGCAAGGUGAUGCUGAUAGGGGUGACAACUAAUUAAAGGAUUUAUUUCAUUCCUUAGGAGUGUCACUGGCCGAACACUUUGUUACUAAAUCCCACAUGAGUGACUUCAUAACUUCCUUAAUUUUUUUUCCUCGGAGAAAAUUUGAUUUAGCGAACUAACCACUUAUGAACCUGAAAACAAAACAGAAAAGCUAAGGGAUUAAGGUUGGGAGGGAGUUAUAUAUAAUUUGUAGCACCUUUUUCUGAACUACUUCCUUCGUCCUAUUUUGACAGUUCUGAUUUUUUUUUUUAUACAUUUAAGAAAAAAUAGUUAACUUUGUUGGAAAAAUAAAUUUACUUUGUUAUUUUUCUAAAAUACCCUUAAAUUAAAUAAAGUACAACUUUAUAUUAAUUAUUCAUGAAAUUUUGAAUUAAUGAUUUAUGGGAAAUUGAAUUGAUGAUACAGAAAAAAUCAAUCCUCAUUCAUAUAUCAAUAUGUUUUGAAAAAUGUAAAUGUUUUAAAUGAGAUAGGUUAUAUCCAAUAACAAUCUAUAUUAAAUAAGUUAGUUUAUGCUAAUAACAACCUAUACUGAAUAAGGGUAUUUCAAAAAAAAUUAAAAUAUAAGUACAUUCUUUAAUUAGACAGUGGACUAUAAUUUGAAAUAGAUAAAAAAAAAAAUAGGACUAUAAAAGUAGGAAGGAGUAAUUAUAUAUAUUUUUUCUUGUAAAAGGUGACUAACUAGUAGAGAUUUAAGUUCAAACCAGGGACGAAUGGUGAGUGCCUGACUAAAUGCAAACAGUUAAUGCCGGCUGUAAAAAUGAUAAAAGCACUAGCUAGCAAUAGCAGCAUCCCUCUUUCAUAUCUUCUCCCUUUUUCACUGCUAACUCAAACGUCCAUCAAACUUUAUUGCUUUGAAUAAUUGCCGCAAUCCGCACAAGCCCUUUUCAGCACAAGUGGGGGACGGCCGUAGUCCUUACACGACGCCAUACUUCUUUCUCCUGCUAAAUCCUGAUUUAGCGUUGCCAAAUCUCUCUCUAGUUUUUACACAACUCAAAAUGGAUUUCACAACUUUGACUUUCACACGGCCAAGGCCAAAAUCCAACGCCAACCCCUCCCCCCAGGGGGGGGUGGGUGGUUGGUGCUCGGUCAAAUGGACAACCGCGAUUUGCGCCUGCCCGUGUGGGCAAAAAGAAUGCCACAAUAAUGUCUCAAACCAUACCAAAUAAGAUCAGAUCUCAAUUGAAUUAACACGUUAAUUAGUAAUUAGAGAUUCCGUCCAUGAAAUUAAACAACGAAAAAUGAGAAAUAAUUCACUAUCAGAUUGAUUUUAUUUAGCCGCAAUAUAUAGUUUUUUACACUCCUGGAAAGACCUAUUAUUACUCAUAAAUAAUACUACAAAAUCUCAACCAACUUCCUAGAUAGUAAAAAAUCUCCACUCUGUUUCUAAUGAAGAUCCCCCCCCCCCCCCAAAAAAAACAACCACUAUACUUUGAAAUUAUUUUGGAAACUAAUAAAUAGAAUUAAGAUUUUUUUUUUGUUAAAAAAAAACACGGUCCGAUGAUCGCCUAUGACAAAAUUUGCCACGAAAGAUGGCAUGCCGGCGAAAAAAAGCUUGAUACUGGUGGGUGUGGGCAAGCAUCUGGUGAUCAUACUGCCAGGAGAGCAUCUGCGCUAGCAAAAUCGUUCAUGUCUUGGAAAUAAUCAUCCACAUUCAGCUCCACUGAACCAAAAUCCUGAAACGAAUCAUUAAACUCUCCGAAUCCAGCGCCCGCUGUUGCCGUGUCAUCAAGGAAACCCGGCAGCAGGUCAUCAUCGAAUGACACGUCCAAUCCCAGGUCAAACGUAUCAUUCGAAAAACUUGGGGGAACGGUGUCGUCAAAGGUUAUCUGCUCCGGAGAUUGGAAAUUGAAGAAAUUGUCUAGGAAAGGAACGUCCAUGGGCAUAUAUUCGUUCGAGUAAUCCGGUAUCAUAUCCCUCGUUUCACCCUGGCACUCCUCAGCUACUUCCGGGACCGGUUCUUGCCACGGCUCACCGUCCGUCUCCUCCUGAACCGUUUGCUCGUCCGUACAAUCAGCAGGAACCGGGCCUUCCACACCUUCGGACCGGCAUUCCGGUUCAGCUUCCUCGCUAGACUGACUGCUUCUGAACCUGAGAACAGAAGUAGGAGAAGACAGAUUGUGGGACUCCUCGCCGGACUCGUAGCAGGAGGUGGACGCCACGUUGACUUGGGGCUUUUCCUUGGCCGGAGGAGUGACGAAGUUGGUUAAAGCGUCCGGACCACGGAGCUUAAUGGCGGCGUUGUCGUAAACCAUGGCAGCCUCCUCGGCAGUGUCGAAAGUGCCCAGCCAGAGCCUGGCACGUGUGGAGGGGUCUCUGAUUUCCGCAGCCCAUUUACCCCAAGGCCUCUGCCUUACGCCGCGGAACUUCCGUACAGCACCUCCCGCAGCGGGGACUGGCGGCUCCUUGGCCUUCAUCGGCCUCUGCUUAGCCUGGAGUGCCUCUGCAGUCUUCUUCUUGGGAUGAUGACGAGGAGCGAGGGCGUUGCUGCUGGCGCUGAUAACAUUAUUGCUGUUUUGUUGGCAAACUGCAGCAGUUUCGAUUUUGAUUUCACUAAUGUACCGCUUCACACGUAGCCUUCCGAAAAGCUCGUCUUCAUCGCUGGAGGAGUCUGUAGCGUCCGGGUCGGUAACGGAUAUCCGAACCGUCCUGGGAACAAUGGAGCUACGCUCAGAGGAUUUUUUGGGCUUAAGGGCGAGUUUUUUGGUGAGGCUUCGGUGCUCGGUGUAUUUUACCGGACAUAAAAAACCGCGAACCACCAUUUUCUUUCUUUUUCCUUUUCUUUUCUCCCCUACCCCCCAGACUUUCGAGUGUUGGAUUCUUACCAGAGUAGUUGCAGUCGCUCUACUAUUCGAAUUGAAGACGACAUAAAAGAGUAAGGGAAAGUCUAUUGGGAGUGUAAAAAAGAAAAAGCCAGAGGAAUAGAGAGCGUGAAGAUAAAGGAAGAUUGCUUUGAAGUGGCCAACACACACAUAUAUAUCACUCUACAACUACAAAGGAAGGAUAAAGAGGGGAGGAACCGUCAAAGAGGAGAACCAAAAACAGAUGAGAGAAUCGAAGACAUGUUGCUGAUGCCACGCCACCAAAAAAAAAAAUCUGACAAAAAGAAUGCCUACGUUAAAAGAUGGGUUUUGAACACACCCAGAAAGCAGCAGCACACGAGAGCUAGCGAGAUACUCCAGAGCUUUUGAGAAAGCGAAUGAACCUAAGAAAGAAGGCUAAAAAGCCAAAGAGAGAAAGAAGAAGAGCAAUUUCUGAGGCUUAAAAACUUGAACAGGGGACUUGAAUAUUUUUAGGCACCCAAACGAGGAAACUGCAGUGCUAUUCUUUCCAUCUAUUUCUGUCGUUGAGGGAAAAAGCAAACGUAUACUCUCUCUCUCUCUCAAUCUUUAGAUUCUCCCGUCCUAAGAAUCUCAGUUACUUUCUUCCUUGAAACUCUUUCCAAGAAAACAAACUCAGAAACUUUCAGUUGAGCAAAGCAAAGCAAAACAGCCAAACUCAAGUGGAAGGACGAGAAGCAGACGAAGAAGAAGAAGAAGAAGAACAGUCCGGAGCGUUCACAAGAGAUAUAGGACAGAGAAAUAUGGAAGAGAGGCAGAGGUAUGUUUCGGUUGGCUGCAAUGGAGACCAGAACACUGAAAUCGCUGUUUUAUAGGAUCCCUCCAGCCGAAAUUGGAAACCCCGAAAUACGCAUCUUUUUCAAUUACUACUACUCCUAUAGUAGUAGUCUUCUCUUCCUUUCUGCCUUUUACCACAUUAUUUUAUGUGUUCUCAUUAGGCAAUAAAAAAGUGACGCAAUCUUUUUUCUUUUUUUUUUUAUCUUUUCUCUCUCUCUCUCUAAAUAAAAAUUUCUGGCUGUCAAUUUAGGAAACUCUAUAUUAAUCUUUAAUGAUUUAAUCGGGCUAGUCGCCGGCGUCGGCGAUUGGUGGCCCAAAGAUUCCGGCCACUGGCCACGGCUCCCAGCGUCAUUUGGCGGUCUGCGAUUUGGACACGUAAUUCAAGUGGCCCCCGUUGAUAGACGUUGGCCCAAUGAGUGAACAUCAAGUGGUGCUGAAUCAGCACACGAUUUCUUUUUCCCCUUCUCGAAUUACGUGUGGCCGGUCACGUGAGGCCCAGGAUGCUCGGCCCACUUAAAAUAUGUCGGUCAAAUUAUAAAGCCAAUUACAGCAACUCACUGCUUUGACCAAUUGUACAGAGACUCACUCAGCGCUACUACGACUACUGCCACACUAGUACUAGUAGUGCUGCCUUACUUCUUGACGAUUUUUUUUUUUUUUUUAACUUUUGUGGUAACUUCUUGAUGAUCAAUCGGCUAAUAAUUUCGGUCCCUCCCUUUGAUGCCCUAAUUACCGCGAUUCGACGCCUAAUGGGCGUUCGGACAAAAGAGGUUGGUCAGGGUAUUGUGGUAAUUGCACAUCUUCGUUUUGGAAAUCUCUUCUGUUUUCUUUCUAUAUAUAUAUAUAUAUAUAUUUUUUUUUUUUACCUUCUAAAUUUUGCUGUACCAGAAUAUUAUUUAUUAGCAGUACAGUAGUAUUUGUUUAUGAGAUUUUAAAAUUUACUUUUUUUACAGCUGCAAAUAACGUGGCGGGCAACCUAGGAUGUGCCGCCAUUUAUAAUUCGGUAAUGUACGGCUCUCUGGGGUUAACCUUUCUCUCGAAUUCCUACUCUCGAGACAGGCAACACCACGCGACCUUAUGUAAUGUGUCUGGGACUCUCUCCCGGGCACUGACAUGGUGAAAUACACGCGAGAGGGACGGGAGUAAUUAAAAUUAUCUUGCGGUGUACGGCCAGACCCAGCUAUCAUUUAUCACAACUUGGCCACCCCUGCUCUGGUGAAAUUGUUGCCCAACAACGAUGAUCUUUUUACCGCACGUAUCGCACAUGAUUACUGUCGAGACACUUUGUGGUUGGUCCGAUUCAGUGCGGUGAUCCUCCUCUGGUGUACUGGUGGACACUCAUUUGUGAAGCGGAAUUAUUCAAGCUUCGUAACUAGCAGCAGUAAUUGCCUAAGUUGGGGGAUUCAUUCACCAAGUCACCCAGCUAUGUUCGGAAUUCUUCAAAUUGGAUGGAAGAUUAUUUGGAUAAAAUUUUUUUUACACCCUUUCUUUCUAAAGUAAUGUGAUAUAUGUAACACAGAAAAAAGAAGUUUGAUGUAAUAUACGUAAAAUAAAAAUAUAAUUAAAUAAUUUAAAAAACAUGUUUAUAUAUUGUUUUAAAAAAUCUCAGGCACUCAUUCCCUGCUUUUGCAUUAAAUGAAAUUUAAAGAGUGACUGAGAUUUUUGGAUAAAAAGAGUUGACCGGUAAUAAUUGUUGAAAAUAUGAAAACAAAGUUUGGAUCUGAGUUCGAGUGUUUGGAAUCCUCAACUGCUACUUGCAUAAUUGCGGAAAAACAGUUGAAAAGGGCGAAUAUUUGAAAUCCUAAAGUUUGUUUUGGCGACCUUGAUGAAAUAGAGUUUUCUUUCUGAGCUUUUUGCUUCCGGUCUUUUUGUCUCUGCUCUGCGUGCAUGCUCUCUCAUUUUUCAAGAAAGAAAAAAAAAAAAAAAAACGUUAUGCUCCUUGCAUCUAUCUCACUUUUAGGUUACGUUGAAACUUCGGAUGAUAUUUUUUGUUCGCAUCAUUACGCAGUCAAUAACUUGUUCUUCAGCCAUCUUUGGCUUUGUCAAAUUCCCCAAAAGGAUUAAUUAAACUGUUUAGAACUUACUUUGCAUUAUGUUCAGUUAUUGAAUUACUAAUGGUUUAAAAUGCGCGCAUGUUGAAAAUUUAUUGACGCGGGACUAAAUCUCAGGGAAGAUAGGAACAUCUAGUCCAUUUGUCAUUGAUGAUUCGGUAUCCGAGUACUGAAAUGCUCGCACAAAGAAUGAUGACAUGGCGAUUUUGUAGGUAGAUAUAUAUAAUACUACUAGUUCCUUUGGAAACUUGAACGUUAAGUUUCUUAAAAACAUCAGAAAUGAUGGGUGUUUGUUUAACUCAGAAUUCGUUCAAGUACGUGCAGUAUUUGAUAAACCAAAAAAAUUGUCCAGCCAGUUUGUAAUCAGCUGUUUUGACCUUAAUCAGAAGUGGCCCUUUUUCCCGGAAGUGUAUGUGUGCUUCAUGUUGCUUUUCAGUUUUUUCACAGAACGAUGCUAAGAGAAAAGGUUCAGCAUCCACAAAUAUGAAGCGGAGCAAAGGAAAGAAUUGUGGCUGGCCAGUCAUGCGUACGUACUUAGCACGUAAUAUCAUUCUGAUAUAUGAAAGCCCUCACAUCACAUGCAAAAGAAAGAAAGAAAGAAAGAAAGAAAAGUUUCACAAUUUUCGGAGUAAGGAAUGCUCGGUGGUCGAUAUUUGUGUUAUUGCAAGAGAAGGAAAAACAGACACGAAUAUGUUCACGUACCAUUCGAGAAAUGGCAGGCCUUAAUUAUGCAGGAUCUAUCUUCUUCGGAUAAACGUAAAAUGCUAAUUAAUUAAUUACUGAACAUCGAUCGAUCGAUCGAUCGAUGGAAUGGGAGGCUUAGGAAGUCAAUGUGCGGAUCCCAUAUAUGUGUUUAGAGAGAAUUGUGUGUAAUUUGGAUUUGCAAAGACAAUCAAUCAAAAAGGGGAGGAGGUCUCUUGAAGUUUGGCCCCCAAAGGAGCUAGCCAGGCGAACCACAUCACAUGACAAUCGACAAACAAGGAAACGAUACAUCGAGUUCGACAAUAUGCGCGCGCGCCUUGGGUCUAAGUUGGAGUGACAUGCGCAAGCAGCAGUAAAUUAAAACAAUUUUUAUUUUUUUUUUAUCUUUCUACUGACGAUCGAUCGACGUCCUCCUUGGCUUCUUUCUCAAACUUGGAUUGGAUGUUGUCUUUUGGUUGUAAGCAUCCGCAAAAACUAGUUUUAUGGAGCGCGCGGGAGGUCAAUGAUCCAAAUGCGCGCAGCAUCAAGCCCAAGAAAAUAUUGCUAACGAUAUUAAUUCUUUAAUCUCCAUCGUCAUUCUCCCCCUUAAUCACCAUUUAGCUUAAUACUAGACCUUCUUGAUUCAAGUGAUAACCAGCGUAAAUGUCUCAAUGGACUGUGCAGUACAGCACUGCCUCCAUGCAUGCACGUACUUACAGACAGCAGACAUUAGGCAUGCACCUUCAUUAAUUUGUAUGUAUAUAUAUAUAUGUUCUUCCUCUCCUGCAGUACUGCAGGUUAAUUUACUCAAUCUCUGCUGUUGUUGGUCGACUACGGGUUUGAUUAGAUCGAUAGAUGUCCGACUCGUACAGGUUAAUCAAGAAAGUAAUACAUGUGGAUGUAUACAAUAUUGAUAGGGUAAUCAAUGAAUUUGAGCGUAAAUAUACAGCUACAGCAACGAGUAUCUAUAGAAGGGGCCAAUGGAUCAGGGAAGGCGUCAGUUAAAAAAUGAUCGGCGGGAAGAAGUCAGUCGGUGCAUGGGACUGUGAACUCAACCAUGCUAAAAUAACGGAAUGGCUCACCAAUGAAGGAAGCCUCGAUUCCUCCUGGUCAUGGAUCAGUUGAUCCCGACACACAUAAAUUCUCGAGAGAGAAAUGCAGCGUAAAGAAUUUUAAAAAGGAGGGCUUCCAGUAGUCACCAACCAAACCAUACCGGUCUGAUGCUUUACCACUACCGUGGACGGUGGUGGCUUUGAUUUCAGCAAAGGGACGACGACACAACAACAGACACGAUACUUUAUUUAGCACGGAUUUCCAUGUUAAGUAAGUGAUCCUUCGAUGAGGAUGGUAAUGAAACAAUUAGUAGUAACGGUGUCAAAGAAAAAAUUCUUAAAAAAAAAAACGAUAAUAUCCAAUCAAUUGAAAAAAUAUUUUGCUAUCUCAAACAAACAAAUGGUGCACAUUUCACAAGCGUCUUUCAGAAGCAACAGAUGUUGGUUUGAUUGUAUUAAAUUUAUCUCCUCGCUCUAUAUAUAUAUAUAUAUAUAUAUAUAUAUAUAUGAAAGAAGCUAGUUUAUUCAAACUGCACAAAUAAAUCUGCAAGUGAAGAUGAAUAAAUCUGCAGAAGAAGCAAAUAGAAACCCAAUAAUUACUAGUACAAGAUACUGCACAUUAGUUAAUUAAGGUACCAAAAAUAUAUUCCACAUUAUCAAAUCAAACACGGGCUAUGAAUUCCCUGCUGGCGCAAGUGUUUCUAAACCUUCAUCUAAGUAAAAGGAUAUUUAGACACUAAUUAUAUACGGUUAUUCUGUUCUUUAAAUCAAACUGGGAUUCACACUUAUGUGAGGACUUUAAUGGCAUCGCUCACACGGGCUAUGAUUUUGAGAGUGACACACAAGUAGAAAAUUUUGAAAUGUUAACAUUCAAACUAUUGACAUUUUAGUAAACCGUGUGCAUAUCUAUAAAAUAGGGAAGCGUCGGAUUGGAUGGUAAAGUCGAAGGUAUUAUAGGUAGGAGAUCCUGAAUUCAACAUUUUCCCCUAAAAAAAAAAAAAAGAAGAAGAAAACAAAAUCAAACUAGGGUUCACACUUAUGUAAGGACUUUAGUGGCAUCCCACAGGUUAUAAUCUUGAGAGUCACGCAGAGGUAGAAAAUUAAGUUUGAAUUUUUAACAUUGAUAUUUUAGUAAACCGUGUGAUCAAUAUCUAUGAAAUAGGGGAGAACUGCCUAAAAUUUAGAAAGAAAAAUAAAGAUAUCAAGCAAGUAUUCUUUUUCUUUUUCUUUUUUUUUUCUGAAGGAGCUAUUGUGUGAGUAAUUUUAUCACAUACAAUUCUCAGUGCAUGUGAGUUUGCUAGUUUCCUUUACGCAACAAACCAAAACGUUAACUCGAAGCAGGCAUGCUUAGUGCGAACAUUCUCCAACUCGAACGAAAUUUGAUUAACAAAUAGUUCCUUUUUUGGUUCUGUAACGUUUGCCAAGACAUGUUUCUUUGGGACUACGGUCAACUGCUAUAUAUAUAUAUAUAUGACUGUAAUUAAUUCCAUAUAGUUUUUAAUCGUUCGGAAAAUCUGAAGAAUAUUUACCACACAAAGAAAAUUCAUUGCAGAAGAGGAAUAACCAGCUUCAUUUUUUUUUCUACACUCUCCAAGUUACAAAUAACCAGCUCAUCGUCUAAUUAACAACAAACAAGCAUAAUUUGUUGGAUGUGAAACAUUAUAAUGGGCGACUAAACAAUAAAAUUAACCAGAGACUAAUUUAAAAAAUCACUAAAAAAAAAAAAAAAAAACUUGUCUCAAAUAAUUAACAUAUUAUUGUUGAACUUUGAAUUGGAAACACUUUAUUUUAAUGGAGCUUGGAGGUUGAUUUGAUAUGUGUAAGCAAGGGAAAAAUGUCAGUAAUUCAAAAAGCUUAAUUCUCAUUUCGAUAUAUUGUAACAAAAAGUUCCUUCGUUAAAGAAAUUAAUCUAAAACUGCUUAACGAAUCUACUAUAAACUUAAAGCAAAUAAAAGAGGGAGUAGGAUUAAAGCUGAGGAGCAUAUCAUCAUCGUCCCUGAACGUGAAGUGCUUUUUUUGUCUGGGCGCUUGACGACAGACCGGGCCGGCUUGAUAGUUGAGGGCCCCAACUGACAAAUUACUUUUCCGAGUUACGCCUCACCGGCGUCGUUCACGCCUUCCGGCUAUUUUCUGCAAUGCACGUGUUCCUUACGACGUGGAGGUGACGUGUUUCCUGGUGGCUUUAUAUACAAAAAAAAAAAGAUUCUUUUGGUUUCCUUUUCUUUUUGCUGCUUCUUUUUAUUUUUUUCCCCCUUUUGGAAAAGAAAUGCAUAAAAUAUUAUUUUAUUUUUUGGCAAAUGGAUUACAUUAGUUGCCCAUUAGCUCUGCCAAGAUAGUGCAACUUUUCUCAAGUAUUCUACAUUAUAAUUUUUUUUAUUUCAAAACAUAUAUUGUAAGUCCGAAAAAAAGAAAAUAAAAUAAAAGAGACAAUAUAUACCUUCCACAUACGUUUGAAUUUGCAAAACGUUUCUUCCCUUCCCGGCUGGCCGGCUAUCGGCCAGAAAAAACGCAAAGUGGAUUCGUAAAAGAAGAUGCAUGACUUUUGAGGGUUAGGCGGUGAGACGGAGGUUUUGAUUUUCUUUGUAUUGCUAUUUCUUUUUCUUUUUUUUUUUCUCUCUGGAAAGCCAAGAUUAACAUUCUGAGGUGGCAUGAUUUCUGGGCAACUAAUCACCCUUUUUCCUGUCUUUAGCUACAAAAUGCACGUGGUGGUUCAGGUUCACGCUUCGUAGCAGACAACAACGUUUAAUGUCGAAGCAACUGAAAAUGUUCGGUAACUAUAAAUAAAAUAAAAUAAAAUAAUUGUUUUUGGUUGGAUGAUUGGAAGGCAGGUAGCUAGCUAAUCUAAUUUGUUCACCAUUAUCAUUUCCCAACAAUUUAUUUUAUUAUCAUUUGUCUGUGGAGCACGUCAUCCCACCUCUGACCCCACCGCGACCAUCCCUUUUUAAUUUCUUUAUAGUAAAACCUCAGGGAGGGCUUUUCCCUAUUUUGAGACCAAGGGCCUGUUUGGAACUUAAGUUUUUUGAGAGUUUGUCUAAAACUUUACUGUAGUGCACUGUAGAAGUUUUUGAAAAAAUUUUGAAGAAAUUUUUGUAAGGUGAAAAACUUUUUUUUCUCUUUUCCUUUCUUUUUCUUUUUCUUUCCUCUCUUCUUCUUCUUCUUCUUCUUCUUCUUCCCCGUUACCUCCACCACCCCCAGCAGCAACUCCACCUCCCGCCGCCCCCCUCUGCCCCGCCUUCCCCUUUUGCCCCUUCCGCCGCCCCCCUCGCCACCCCCUCUGUCCCUUCCCCCUCUGCCCCGCCGCCCCCCUCUGCGCCACCCCCCUUUGCGCCGGACGUAGAGACAAAAAAAAAAAAAGACAAGAGAGGAUGAUGGCAGGGGAGGAAGAGGGGGAGAGGGAAAAAAAAGGAGAAAAAAAAAGACCGGCACCGGCACCAGCACCGGAAAUUGGUGACGGAGCAGGCAAUGAAGGUGGUGGUGGGAGAGGAAGAAGAAGAAAAGGGGAAGGGAAUUUUUUUUUUUUUUUUUUGUGUUUUGGAUAUUUUAAGUAUGUAGGUUUAAAACUUUGAUAAGUUUUUUGGGGUUUCUGUAGCAAAAGUUGUUAAAAAACUAGUUUUAUACAAACUUGGUAAAAAACCAAGCUUCCAAACAGGGCACAAGUUCGCCACGUAAUUUUGGAUUGUGAUUUUUCUUGAUAGAAUGAAUUCAACACUUUGUCUCCCACAAAAUUUGUCACAACAUGUGACGGUCUUCAUUGAUCAGUUUCGACGACGGAGUUUCUACUCACAUAGACUCCUUUCUCCCUUUCCCUUAGAAUAGGUUAGUUUAAAUUAUAGGAAUUCUAUCGUAUCGACAAAAAAAAAAAAAGAAUUCACCAUUUUUUUUUAAAAAAAAUAUUUCCAAAUACUUGGAAAGCUUCACGAAAGAAAGUACAACUAGGUAGAAAAAAAAAAAAAAAGAAGGUACAAGAGCUACACUUGCAAAAAAAUAUUUGUAAUGAUUAAUGAACCUGAAUUUCAGGGCCCCUGCAGGAGUUAGUUGCAUGCUCAAAUCUCAGUAGUUUUUCUUUUUUGCAUGUCCGCCCACUCAUGGCCACGACCCUUCCCUGGGAUUUUUCACAAUAUCUUUUCCUAUGCCUUUUUAAUAUCUUAAUUAAUUAACUUGGCGAAGCAUUGUGUGGGUCAAAUAAAAUUUUUUAAAAAAUAUUAUUUUUUAAAAUUGCGGGUCGGUCACUUGGUCCCGCCCAUGCCCUAUCGACAGUCACUGCAGAUAAGUGUGCGACAUCGAUGGUCUACCCACUUCAAUUAAUUUAACAAAUUGACUCCUUUCUUCUUCUUCUUCCUUUUUUAAAAAAAAAAAAAAAGAAAAACAUUGGGAACAAGAAGACCAGUGAUCAAUUUGUUUCGGGAUUCCUAGGCGUUGUUCUUCUCUUCUUAAUUUCUGAGCUUCUCCAUAGAUAGUUGCAAUCAUAAAGAUACUAAUAAUUACGGGGAAUUUCGAACCCAGGGCCCAGGAUUUAGCAAAAUUAAGGGCUCGAGGGACGUCUACAUUUUUGAAACCAGCAUCACUAAUCCAACUCAAAUACGACACGCAGAUUCUGUAGAGAACUAACUAUUCCCACUCUUUUUUUUUUUUUUUUUUUUGGGUUUGGUUUUUCCUGGAAUGGUGGAAAGAAAUGUUUCUAUGUACUUAAAUUGAUGAGAUGUACUGAAUUUUAGUGGAAUUCGGAAAGAAUAGUAUUGAUACUAAUAAUUACGCUGGGGACAACCUAAGAAAAGAACAAAAAGGAGAAAGGGAUCCAUAGUUGCAUCCAAUGGAAGAUAUACUCCCUCCGUCCCACUUUGAUAGUCCUGUUUUUUUUCACACAGUUUAAAAAAAAGUAGUUAAUUUUGUUGAAAAAGUAAAUUUAGAUUAUUAAUUUUCUAAAAUACCCUCACAUUAAAUGUGGUACAACUUUAUGGGAACUUGAAUUGAUGGUAAAAAAACGAAUCAAUUCUCAUUAAAUGGGGUAGGUUUAUAGUAACAACUACUUACAUUGAAUAAGGGUAUUUUAGAAAAAUUAAAAUACAACUACAUUCUUCAAUUGGAAAGUGGACUACAAUUUGAGACAGAUGAAAAGGGAAUACAAGACUAUCAAAGUGGGACAGAGAGAGUACUACUUAUGUAUGCAUGAGCCUUCCAUCUAAAAAAAUAAAAAUCCGAGAUUUAGUUGCGGCGAUGAGUCUUCGUUACUUUUUUUUUUUUUUGGAUCAAUCGUCACUUUUUUUAUCUAUAUCCUACUUUAUUCUAAUCUAACUAAGGGAAAUGCCAACUGGACAUACGGGAGGUUGAUAUAGAUAGUGACGGAACCAGGAUUUUUUCCUUGGGGAUGGCCAAAAUUUUUUCGGACAUAAUUACCUUAACAUGUUAUGUUCAAAAUAAUUUUCAUUUAUUUAAAUAUAUGACAUCCUAAAAUAUCAAAUUUUAAUUUUAAUUAUAAAGGUAUGUCUAUUUCAUAAAUAUAUAACAUAGUCAUAACUAAAAUUAAGGCAAGCAGUAACCUUUGAUUAAAUAUCAUAUAACAUCACAAACCACCUAAGUUGCACAUUAUGAGAAGAUGUCCCAAUAUGUCACUUGUGCAAAAACAAAAAUAUAACUAUGCAAUAUAAAUAUAAACUAUUUUCAAUUAAAAAAAGAUAAAAGUUAUGUUAGCAUACCUUGAAAUUUUAUCCUCUUUUAUUAAAAGUAAAUUGACAUUUACAUUCUUUUAUAGAACUAAAUUAAUGUAUAAUUGAAUCAAUGCUAAAUUUUCGAAUAACUUUCUUUUUUUAUGUACAUUAUUAGGCAAUCAUUCAAGAAAUUAUCUUUUAUCUUGUUUUGGAGCUUUGUUUUGAUUAUUCUCAUAAUUAAAAAUAUCCAUUCUAUAGACUAUAGAACGGAGCCAAGCUUUUUUCCUUGGGAGGGGGGUCAAAAUUUUUCUGAACAAAAUUAUCUUAAUAUGUUAUAUUCAAAAUAUUUUUCAUCUGUUUAAAUAUAUGACAUCUUAAAAUAUCAAAUAUUAAUUUUAAUUAUAAAGAUAUGUCUAUUUCAUAAAUAUGCAGCAUAGUCAUAACAAAAAUUAGGAUAAAAAUAACUUUUGAUUAAAUAUCUUAUAACAUCACAAACUAUCCAAAUUGUACAUUAUGAGAAAAUGCUCCAAUAUGUCACUUGUGCAAAAAACAAAAAUUAACUAUGCAACAUAAAUAUAACUAUUUUCAAUUAAUAAAAGAUAAAAAUUAUGUUAGCGUACCUUGAAUUUCAACCUCUUUUCUUAAAAAUAAACUGAGUUUUAUGUUCUUUUAUAGAACUAAAUUCAUAUGUUAUUGAAUUAGUACUGAAUUUUUGAACAAAAUUUUUUUUAUGUACAUUGUUAGACAAUCAUUCAAGAAAUUGUCUUUUAUCUUGUUUUGGAUCUUUGUUUUGAUUAUAUUCAUAAUUGAAAAUGUCCAUUCUAUAGUUGCAGUUGACAUAUGAAGAGUGAAAACAAAUAUAAUCAAUCUGUCAAUAACAUGAUAGAUUACUCAAUUUCGCGUCUUCACCAAAUCUUCAAGUAAUUAUUUGUAUAUUUGUAUAUGGGUCAACAAGAGUAUAGAUCACUAAUUUUAAGUUUUUUUAUCAAUCAGGCUAUGUUGCAUAUUUGUAUAUGGACCAAUGAAGUAAUUUUUUUUGUUUUAGCCCAUUGAUAAUUAUGAAUUGAGUCUUUUAUUAUAAUAUAUCAAAUUGGGUCAAUUUACUAUGGAUCAUCAAAAUAUAUGUUUAAUUUUUUGAAUGUUAAAUAAUUAGCACAAUACAAAAUAAAUAACUUUUUUUGGAGAAAAAAUUAAAUCAAAGGUGGCUAAUUUAUACACACCCACACACAGAUAUAUAUAUAUAUAUAUAAGCUCUCAUAAUAUAAACUAAAAUUAUAAAAAAUCAGGGGGGCCAACUUUGUCUUAUACAUAUAUUUACAUAUUAUGAAUUAAAAUUUUCAAAACUUAGGGAGGGCCAUGGCCCCCCUUGACUCCGUCAUUGGAUGGGGACAUAACCACCAUCGAACUAGACGGGUAUACUAUGCACCCAUCUGAAUUUUUUAAAGAAUCACAUAAUGUGACAAUUAGUGGGAGACAAGUUUUGACCGUUGCCGCUUGGUGGUGGCCACCAGCCUUUAGUCUUCGUUAAUUAGUAAAUAUUCAUUAUUAUUCCUUUGAUCAUGUUUGCAUGGGCUAAGUUGGUCAAGGAAACGAGCGAAAAGGCGCAGCGUCAUGGGUCAACACAGGAAUCUCAACUUCUGACGGAAUUACCAUGCAAGAUGAAUCAAUCCUUUCUUUCUUUCUUUUUUUUUUUUUUCAAAUAAUAGAUGCAAAUCGCUAAUUAAGUUAACUGAAAAUUUGCAUCAGAGGUAGCUUAUUUCAAUAACCCCACGGGUUUAAUGCACCGAAUUGCGAUGUUGUUGAUCCUAUGCAGGUACCUGGAUAAAAUGAUUCUUUUUUUUUUUUGUGGUAAUUUUUGGGUCCAGUGAAUUGGGCCAGUUCAAAAUCCAUCCUCUAGCUGGAGCUCUUGAUUUCUUGACCCUCUUGCCUCUUGGAAUGGUGGUGGCGUAGGCUGAUGGAUUUUCGUAAGUUCAUGGAACGGGCUUUCCUGAAAGUCUGGGGAAACAAGGUUCAAGUUGGUCCUUGUUCUAUGGUUCGAACAGAUCUGCUCAAGAGGACUCUGCCCUCUGGGGAAUGCGGUUUGGACUAGAAGGACAUCAGGCUCAUAGGCCCACUUCUUUUACAUAUAUAGCCCGUUAACAUUAUGGCAAUGUCAAAAAUUUGUUAAAUUACAGCAAUGCGCAAAUGUCGAGUAAUUAUUCAACCAGAAAAAAAAAAGUCGAGUACUUAACUAAAUUAGUAAUCAUUGACAUUGUUGCCUAUACACCAUAAAAGGACCUCUACAUAUAUUUGUAGUGCACUUAGCGAUAUGGCAUCAAAUCAAAUUUGUGACUGAAUUGGUUAGCACGAGUUAUUUUCUCAUAAAAGAUUGCAUGCUGUAAAGAAAUUUUUAUAAUCAAUCUAUGAUUUUGAAAACAUAUACCCUGAUCCAUUGUAGUAAUUGAAGCCGAGAACUCAUUUAUGCUUGAUAGUUACCCAAAAAAAAAAUAUCAAAUUUGGACUAUCUCAUUGUUCACAAAAAGGUACAAAUAUUUUUCUGGUGUCAAUUUUAUUUGAGAAGUCGGAUUUACAAAAAAAAAAAAAAAACUCGUUUCUAUGCAUCAGCAACAACGCUCUAAUCAAAGAAGAAUGAAGAAGAUAGCAGAAAUAAGUGAUUCACAAAUAAAGAAGGAACAACAAACAAUACUGUAGAAUUGAUAAUUCUAGAGCCAAGUGUUAGUUAACCUCGUGCAUGUUUUUUGGGAACCUUACACACAUAGUUUUGUGGAAAAUCUCGUAUCAAUAGUCUAAUUUACGGCAAGUGAAACAGCUUGAAUAUACUGUUGGGCAGAGGUAGGGUUGCAAACGAAACGAGCCGAGUCUCGACUAAAUUUUACCAAGCUCGAGCUCGAGCUCGAUGAGCCGGCAAAUUUCGAGCUCGAACUCGAAAAAAAAAUAAAAAAUAAUUAUUUUAUUUUAAAAAAAAUAAAUAAAAUAAUAUUUUUUUUCUUAAUAAAUAAUAAAAUAUUAAGGAUAUAUACGUAAUUUUACUAUGAAAAUAAAAAAAAUAUAUAUAAUAUACGUAAUUUUAUUAUUAAAUAAAAAAAUAUAUAUAUAUAUAUUUACCCAACCUCGUGAGCCGACUCGCGAACUAACGAGUUUAAUAUUCUGAGCUCGAGCUCGAACUCGAGUUGGACUCGAACAGGCUCGAGCUCGACUCGAGCGGCUCGCGAGCGGUUCGAUUCGUUUGCAGACCUAGGCAGAGGGGAAGCCACAAUUGUAGAGGGAUUCUUUACAUUUGGACAUAUCAUCAACAGUCUAACUCGAGCUCUUUCCAUUCUUUUUUUUUUUUUUUUUUUUUGUGAAGGAUUAAAAUUAGAAAACAAAAAAUGCAAACUUCUCGCUGGUUCUUCCUGUCAAAGUUUCAAACGGAUGUUAUUUUGGGAAUGUAUUUCAAGACCAUCCUAUUUUUCGCUACCCUUAAUUCCAUUACUGGUGGAGCAUUGCUAUAGUGCCUCCUCUGCUGGCAAAACGAUUCAUGACCCAAGAAUUGAACAGCCUGAUUCUAAAGACAGUCGAGUUUUAAUUGUUAGAUUAUUACUACUAGCUCAUAGGCGCUCGUUUCGAAAGAAUUCUUGCUGGCGCUGGCAAUGAGCCACACGAGGAGGAAUUCUUUCGUUUAAUAUUCUUUCAUUUGACCUUCGCAACAAAUAUUCAAGUCAUGGCGGAAGAUCUCGAAAUGCAGGGUAGCGAUGCCGGCAACAACAGGGACUCUGAAGGGCCAAAUGAAACGAGUACCAAGGGUUCCUUCCAUGGGGACCUGAUUCUCGCAAAGAAAUAUCAGCCUUCGCUGCGUCGGCGAAAAGUAAUUAAUUUGUUUCAAUUGUUGAUCAUCAUAAAAUCUGUUGGACUAGUGACAGCCAUCUUGUAUUUUAUGAUCACAGAACGCAACGAUGGGAGAGUCCUUCUAAUUUCCAUCGAUCCCACAGAUGAAUUUAUGGUUACUAAUUCAGACAAAAUGCUGGUGUUUGACGUCUCAGGAAUACACGUUGGUGCAAACAUUGUUGUUGGCGUAUCAGUCUCUUGGAGUCGUGUACGGAGACAUUGGCACUUCACCUCUCUACGUGUUGUCAUCUGUUCGGCUCGACAAACCUACGGAAGAAGACAUGAUCGGAAUCCUCAGUCUCGUCUUUUGGACCUUGACCAUAAUCCCGUUGAUCAAAUACGUCUUCAUUGUCCUUCGGGCUGAUGAUCAUGGCGAAGGUGGAACUUUUGCUCUGUAUUCUUAUCUGUGCAGGCAUAUAAACUUCCGAAGCAAACUGACCAUCCAAAGCACAAGAUUAGAAUCUGAUGCAACCAUGAGUUUUUACACCCAAGGGAGUGCAAUACAGUCUAAGACCAAACAAUUCAUUGAAAACAGUCGCGCAGCACAGAAUCUCCUCACGUUCGUUGUACUUUUGGGUACCUCGAUGGUGAUCGGUGAUGGCGCCUUGACACCGGCCACCAGUGGUAAGCAAUCGAUCAUAAACCCAACAUUCGUAGUAAUGAAUGAUAAUACUCGAAUCAUUAACGGUUGAAAUUCUCUUUCAUUAACGGUAUGUUUCUAUGGCACUUAAAACAUUCCUUCCACGACUAAUAAUCUUUCCGUACAGUUCUUUCGGCUCUUGCGGGAAUUCAAACACUUUCCUCAAAGAUAACAACAGGUACAUUUUUGUUCAUCUGCAUAUCAUGGUAUUUGAUUAAUAAUGAAACUACCAAAAUUAUACAAAUGAGUGAUGUUUGGUCAGGGUAUGUUGUGUUCAUGGCGGUUGUGAUACUGUUGGCUCUAUUCCUUUUCCAGUCAUGUGGGACGAGCAAAGUCGGGUUCUCAUUCUCCCCGAUCAUGUUUUUGUGGUUUGCUGCGAAUGUUUUCAUUGGCAUUUACAAUAUUGUCGCCUAUAAUCCUGCUGUCCUCCGUGGUUUAUCACCUCACUACAUUUUCAAGUUCUUUGGAAAACAAGGCAAAUCUGGCUGGGAGGUUUUAGGCGCCGUUUUCUUGUGCACAACAGGAGGAGAAGCCAUGUUUGCUGAUUUGGGCCACUUUAAUAAGAGAGCCAUUCAGGUGUUUGCCAUUACAAAGUUUAAAUGCUCAAUACUCUGCAUCGAGCAGCCCAUAACAAAUGUUUGCAAGUUUAGUUAACCAAUCACAAUACUGCUUUUGCAGCUGGCUUUCUCCUUCUUUGUCUAUCCAUCUCUGGUGCUGUGUUAUGCUGGUGAGGUAGCUUUCUUGUCUAAGCAUCCCGAUGCCCUGACCAACGCUUUCUACAGCUCCAUUCCUAAGACAGUUUACUGGCCGAUGUUCGUGUUAGCAACCUUGGCCGCAACAAUUGCCAGCCAAUCUAUGAUAUCGGCCUCAUUUUCUAUUGUUAAGCAAUCUUUGGCUUUAGGUUGCUUCCCCCGGGUUAACAUAAAGCAGACAUCCCCCAAACAUGCGGGGCAAAUUUACUCCCCAGAAAUCAACUACAUCCUGAUGAUCAUUUGUAUUGCUCUCGUAUUGAGAUUCAAACAAGGGGUUGAGAUAGGAAACGCAUAUGGUAAUUAAACCGCCUUUUUCAGCUAUAUGAAGUUCGACUCGAGUGAAUAUUGGUAUAUAUGUUGGAUAUUAAUCAAUCUUGGCCUAAUCAACUGCAGGUGUGGCUGUCAUAUGGGUGAUGAUAAUAACUACAUGUUUGGUGACGCUGGUGAUGUUGGUCAUUUGGGAUACAAAGUUUCCUCUGAUCCUUGCAUUUUUCAUUCCAUUCAUAUUCAUCGAGGGCGCAUUCAUGACUUCCUUGCUCAACAAAAUCCCUCAAGGUGGAUGGGUGCCAUUUGCAAUCUCCGGUUUCUUCCUGGUGAUCAUGCUGUCGUGGACUAGCGGGAGGAGCAAAAAGACCUCAUUUGAUGCAGAAAGGAAGCUGAGUCUAACGGAAUUCACGAGCGUGCUGUCGAGUAAUGAUCUCUAUCGUCCCCCUGGUAUUUGUCUCUUCUGUACCGACCUUGUCAAUGGGAUUCCGCCCAUCGUUCGCCAUUAUAUUCAGAGCACAAACUCUCUUCGUGAAAUUACCGUGAUCAUCACAAUAAGGACCCUACCAAUCAAAACAGUCCUUGCAGAGGAGCGUCUUGACGUGGGAAGAUUGGGAAUAGAUGGGGUAUACAGGUGUUUGAUUCAGUUCGGUUACAAGGAUUUGCAGAGCUUGGAAGAAGAUGACAUUGUUGCUUCCAUUGUGGCAAAACUCCGCGACACAGCUGAAACGGAGGAAGAGGCAGAAAAGCUUGGAAAAGCUAUGAAGAAAGGCGUGGUGUUCGUGGCUGGUCGGACUAUUCUCAAAUCGAAGGAGAGCAAUGGAUGGCUUUCUCAUUUGGUGAUAGAUUACUUGUACAGAUUCCUGCAGAAGAACUGCAGAUCAGCACUCACUUCACUUAAAAUCCCUCCUGGAAAGUUUUUACAAGUUGGGAUGCACUAUGAAAUUUAAGACCACCUGCGCGAUCCGUCAGCUUCACUCUAUGAUUCUAUCUAAUUAAUUUUGUUCGAUGUCCUUCAUGGCAGCACUAAUAAUGUAAGUUUCGAACUUUGUCUGCUGUAAAAUUAAGCACAGUCCUACGGUCCCAAGUCUUUGAACAAUGAGUGAGAACGAGGAAAGAUGGUAAAGCGUAUUGAACGAGUAUUAGAUGGAUACUCUCCUAAUGCAUCACAAUUAGCAUAGUGGUUCUUUGUUUUUAAAAAAUUCAUGGAGUGCAAUAAUAUAGGUUAAUGUAGUAGUAGUAGGGUAGAUUUUUGUUGUUGCCAAAAAAAAGUAAAAAAAAAAAGAGCAUUAGAUUAAUACCUUUGGUGACGUAGUAUUUUAUAGGCAAUUUCCCUUUAAUAUUACCACUUCCAUCAUCAAGCUUAACUUAUGCGAGCUUGGAACUUUUUUCCUAAAAAAAAAAAAAAUUAUUUUUAAUUCUGUUCCAAAAGAGUGAGGGUGCAUUUGAUAAAACUGAAAUCUAAAAUCUGAAACACGAGCUCAUCGAAAACAAACAGGCAUGCGUACGUAGAAGUUAAAAUUUUGAAACUAAAGGCUAUUCGAAUUUUCACGGCUUCAAUAGGAUUUUACAUCUUAGAUACAUACCACUGCAUGAAAAUUCUCGCCUGCUGCAUCAAUUAAUGGCUGCCAAUCACUUCGAGAGUUUAAAUAAUUAUUCUUGUUUCUGACCGUAGGUGGACGUGGAGCCAUGAAGCUUAGCGUUAAAAAAUGACCCAAUUAAUGUACUAAUCACUCGGACAGUUUAAUUAUCUUUCUUGUCUCAGUCCGUAGGUGGAACCAUGAAUCUUAGCGUUAAAAAUGACCCAAAUAAAUUACUCCCUCCGUCCCACUUUGAUAGUCUUGUUUCUUUUUUCACACAGUUUAAGAAAAAGUAGUUAACUUUGUUGGAAAAGUAAAUUUAGAUUGCUAUUUUUCUAAAAUACCCUCACAUUAAAUAUGGUACAACUUUAUGGGAACUUGAAUUGAUGGUAAAAAAAGAAUCAAUUCUCAUUAAAUGGGGUAGGUUUAUAGUAACAACUACUUACAUUGAAUAAGGGUAUUUUAGGAAAAUUAAAAUACAACUACAUUCUUAAAUUGGAGAGUGGACUACAAUUUGGGACAGAUGAAAAAGGAAUACAGGACUAUCAAAGUGGGACGGAGGGAGUAUUAGCUUUUUAGAACAAAGUAGUAGUACUUGCCGACAAAAGAGCGACCCUUAGUGGGCAUGGUGGAGCAUGCAUUUCCAUCCGUACCCGUUUAAACAUCCACACCCACCUCACUUAAUUGGUUUUGGAUUACUAAAAAAAUUUAGAUGGACGUUAAUGGACAUCCAAGUAAAAUCAAUUGGUUUGACGUUUUUAAGUGGAUGAUCAUCCACAUAAUCCAUCUAAAUCCAUUUUAAAAAGUAAUGAGCAAGCCCAGCACGUUUUGGCAGUACUAAUGAUAAUGUUUCUUAUAUGCUAACACUUUUUAUGAUGUGAUGUAUGUGAGAUAAAACGGUGAUUGAGAAUAUAAAAAGGUGAAUUGAAAAAUGUGUUUAUAAUGCAAGCGAAAAAUUUGCUAUCCAAACAUAGCCACAGUUGCACUCCCAGUCCAAGACGUUGUUCAGCUCUUCCCACUCACGCGAUCAAAGUUUUUUUUUUUUUUUUUUUCUCUCAAUCCAAUUUAGUUAUCAUCAGAACUCAUCCUAUUAACUUAGGAGUGUCAUUUUAAUCUACCUAUUAGUUAAAGAAAUUAACUUUGUGUUAGUCAAAUAGAUCUUGACUUUGUGUUAGUUAAAUAGAUUUUAAAUAAAAAAUUGAGUAUACAUCAUUCAUUUGGAUCCAAUCCACAUAUAACCCACUUAUUAUAUGGAUUUAAAUCGAUUUGAUUAUUUAAUCUAUGAUCCAUUUAUAUAAAACAAAUUAUGAUCCAAAUAUCCAUUUUUACACCUCUACCUAAUAUUACUUGAAUUCGAGGCUUAUAAUCAACAAGCUCUCGACUCUUUUUUUUUUGGGUAUUUUUUUUCCUUCUUUUUUUGGUUUUUUGGGGGGGGGGGGGGGGAGUUCAUAACAAUCAUGUACGUAAUUUGAUUUCGCUAUUCUUGAUACGUAUAAGCCUCUUAAACAGCAAUCAUUCGUUGAAUUUUUAUUUUUUAAUGUGGGCUCUGUUGUGGAGGCAAUGCUUUUAAAUUGAUUCCUGCACAUUCUGUAUUUCAUUCACAUGGUACCAAAGCCAACUUCGAAGUUCGAUUGCAAAUUCCAAAGCACUCACUAUAGCCAAUUGUCACGUUGGAUCAGAUUCAGGCCGCUCUACAAAAUAAUAACAAGCAUGGAAGGCAAAGUUGCUAACAGCUCCGUGCUAGAAGACGAUCUUGAAAAUGGUGGCACUGGAGAGGACACGGUCGGUUUUCGCCCAGCUGGUGCUGGAAACAUUAUUGAACUAUCAUCUGCCGUGGACAGAACCCUGAGCUUUAGUCGAGUUUUCAAGUCUUCCCCAACGCCAAACGAGCCCAAGGUCUAUAUAUACCAUAUAUGCUUGGUCGAUUGCCAUUUCUCAUCUUAGGUUAUUCAGUCACAUAUAUAUGUUGCCUUGCUUCAGUCCAUAGAUUAAACACACGACCGGCAUGUACACUCAACUCUAAACUAAGUAUCAGGCAACUUUUUUAACACCUAAACACAAUUUUUUUAACAAUCAUAUGAUGUGAUCAGGAAUAUCCAGCGGCGCAGACAUUGUUGUUGGCUUACCAAUCACUUGGAGUUGUGUAUGGAGACCUUGCUACCUCUCCUGUCAACGUGUUUUCCGCUACAAACUUGACAAACGUUACUGCAGAAGAUCUACUGGGGACCUUCAGCCUUAUGUUUUGGAGUUUGACUAUCAUAGUUUGGAUCAAAUAUGUUUUCAUCGUCAUUCAUGCCGAUGAUCAUGGUGAAGGAGGUACUUUCGCUUUAUAUUCCUAUCUCCGUCGACAUAUAAAUUUCCGGACCAAGUUUACAAUUCAAAAUACAAGGUUGAGCACUGAUGAAAGCAUGAGGUUUUCUAACCGCCCCAGCCCCCUACGUUCCAAGACCAAGGAAUUCAUAGAGAGAAGUAUCAGAGCUCAGAAUUUUAUUAUUGUAAUUGUUUUGCUUGGAACUUGCAUGGUCAUUGGGGAUGGAGCACUGACUCCAGCCACUAGCGGUAAUUUCUGCCUCCGAACCAUUCGAAGGAACAAACACAUAUCUUGACAGUCGGGGUUUCAUAACAAUCUCUUGCAAAACAAAAUGUAUUGUUGCUCCGUAAGAAAUUCAUAGCAGUAUUUGAAAUGCUCCUCGUGCGACUUUUAAACUAACAAUAAACAGCAUCUCGGGUCCAAAAGCUCUUUAAAAUCAGGGUUUAUUAUUUCUUUUAUUUUUUUUUCAAGCUCUUUUUUCCCCUUUUUAUGGGCAGUACUAUCAGCGGUUCAAGGUGUCCAAUCCCUCUCUCCAAAGAUUACCCAAGGUACGUACUUCUUGAUUGAAGUUUAUCUUCUUGAGAGUAAAGCAGUCCCAGGAUACUCACAGCAACUACAGAAUUUUCCCUUUUUUGACUGCCGCAGACCAUGUUGUGUUCACGUCCGUUGCUGUUCUGAUACCACUCUUCCUCUUCCAACGCUGCGGAACAAGCAAAGUCAGCUUCACCUUCUCUCCAAUCAUGCUACUCUGGCUGGCUACCAAUGCUUCCAUCGGAAUUUACAACAUUUUCAAAUAUUAUCCGUCCAUUCUCAAGGCUGUGUCCCCUCACUACAUAGUGCUGUUCAGUUCAAGAAAUGCCAAAACUUUAUGGAAUCUUCUUGGUGCUGUAUUCUUGGGCAUAACAGGUACUGUCCUAGAAUUUUCUGGAAAAGUUUUAAGGAUUUUCUACUUCCGAAUUUAAUGAAUUUGAAAGCAAAAAACUCUGAAAUGGAUCUGCCAGUAAAGCUUCACUUGAACUACAAAAGGUUCACUUGAAUUUCAUAUAUUGAUUGGGACAGGAGCCGAGGCCAUGUUUGCUGAUCUGGGUCACUUCAACAAGCAAGCAAUUCAGGUGAGGAAUCACAAAACCAUCUAUGAUUGCAUUUACGUUGGAAAGGGAAAAUACAAAAUAGACGUGUUUACUCGUGAACCCAAAGAAUACAUAUAUGCAUAUUGCGUCACAGGCAUAUUUAGAUUUAAUAAAAAAUUAGAACGCUGUACAAAUUAAUGCACGAUCAUACUACUAUUUUUAUUGUAUAUUUUUGUGAUGAGUGAAUAUUUUGGUAAGUAUUUAUUCGUCUAAUUUCUGGCUAUCAUGGUUAUUUGGCUACUUGAUGGCAAGGCAACUUAGCUCAUUCGUUGUUUUGUGCAGUGGGCUUUCUCAUUCGUUGUUUAUCCAGCAUUAAUCAUCACCUACGCUGGUGAAACGGCUUACCUAAUCAAGUAUCCAGAGAAAAUCAAUAACGCCUACUACAGUUGCCUUCCGCGUCCAGUAUACUGGCCUAUGUUUGUCAUCUCCACACUGGCCGCCGUUGUUGCUAGCCAGUCCAUGAUAUCUGCAAGCUUUUCUAUCGUGAAGCAGUCACUGACCCUCGGCUGUUUUCCUCCAGUCAAAAUGGUUCACACUUCUUCCAAGCAUGAAGGGCAAGUUUACUCCCCAGAAGUUAACUACGCCCUAAUGAUUCUCUGUGUUGGUCUUGUCAUUGGAUUUAAAGGCGGCGUUGCACUAGCAAAUGCUUACGGUAAGCUUCCCUUCCCUUCCCUUCCCUCAAUUACUGUCGAUGAUGACCGUACUUACAUAUAUAUAUAUAUAUAUAUAUAUAUAUGUAUAUAUAUAUAUACUAGGGUAAUUAAAAAAAAAAAUGAAGUUCUGUUGGCUUCUAUCUGUACACAUUGCAGGUGUGGUUGUCAUCUGGGUCAUGCUCAUAACAACUCUUUUGACCUCGUUAGUUAUGCUCGUCAUCUGGAACUCCAAUAUACUUCUAGUCCUAGGUUUUCUCGUACCAUACGUAUUAAUUGAGGGCAUCUUCAUGACGUCCAUGCUUAACAAAAUUCCACAAGGAGGAUGGGUGCCAUUUGCCAUCUCAGCUAUCCUCGGGACUGUGAUGCUGUCUUGGACGUAUGGAAGGAGUAAGAAGAGCAUGUAUGAAGGAGGAGGAAAGAUGAGCAUUGGUGAGUUAAACCAGAAGCUAUCAAGCACUUGUAUCUUUAGAACGCCAGGAAUUUGCUUCUUUUUUACGGACCUUGUCGAUGGUAUUCCACCAAUUAUCCGGCAUUAUAUUCAGCACACUAAUUCAGUUCGUGAGAUAAUGGUGGUAGUUACCAUUAGAACUCUUCCCAUCAAAACUGUCCUACCAGAGGAACGUUUCGUUGUGGGCAGGUUGGGAGUUGAAGGAGUUUAUAGGUGUUUGGUUCAGCUGGGAUACAAGGACUCGCUAAAUAUGGAAGGUGGUGAUUACGCUCGAGAAAUUGUGGCUAAGCUACGAGGAAAUGCGGACACUACAGCCGAACAACGAAAACUUCAUUCUGCCUCAGAAAAUGAAACUGUUUUUGUCAUGGGCAGGACAAUUCUUGCUGCAAAUGAGAACGAUGGAUGGCUUGCCCGUUUCACCAUAGAGUAUUUGUACAGAUUUCUUCAAAAGAACUGCAGGUCAUCAGUUUCGGCACUUCAUUUGCCACCGGAAAAGACAAUGCAGGUUGGAAUGCUAUAUAGACUGUAAAGCAAAUCUAGGAAGUCGCCUAGUUUCUUAGUAUAUGGAUGCUAGUACAAAAUGAAGCCCUUCAAGCUAAUAUGUACAUGAGCAGAAGAAUAUCCAAUCCUCGUUCCGGUACCUAUAUGUUCAGGUCAAUAAGGCUACAUGCAAAAUCGAUUUCACGCUUAACUCGAAAGUGAGAACAAGUUAGCCUACUUUCAAGGAAAGGAAUCUAGCACACCACUUUUCUUGCAGCCUCUAAAUUGAAUAUCGAUUACACUUGCAAACUAGAGAUUCUCAACUGCUAUGUGACCAUCUACUAACUUUUGCCAUCGUCUAAUUUCAAGCUUGCACCCCCACUGAUUGAAGUAGAUUGUAACACAAAAUUUUCAUAAAUACUAGUCCAGAGGCCCUGCGCAUAGCGUGACCCGUGUUAAUAGUGUGUUUGUGUGGUGACGUUUUAAAUUUUUUUUUUUUGUAAUGUGGUGAAUGAAUUGAUGCAGAAAAAUAUUUUGCAAUAUGUAAAAUAAUUGCGAGGUAGUUUGUUUUGAUUGAAUGAGGGUAAUUGGAAAGAAUUAUUGGUAGGUUAUUAUAUAGAAUGUGAUUUAAUGUUGAAGUAAAACGAUAGCGUGUAUAUAUUGUAUAGUUAUGAAAUUGGACAAUAUGGGAAUAGUAUUAAAUGUUGAAAGGCAUAACUUUAUAGUUAUUUCAUAUUGCAGCAACUUUUGCAAGUUCAUUAUCGAAUAUGUGCAUUCGAUACUCGUUCAUGCCUAAGUGGGUAAUUAUGAGAGCAUAGCAUAGUCAAAUAAUAUGGUAUCAUAGCAUUUUUUUUGCAUUCAUAGGUUAAAAAUUUAUCUUCAACUUUGAUGUCCCAACAUUUGUGUUGGUAAUAGAAGAUGAUUAUAUUGUUUUUGUUUGGCAAUAUAUUUGCUGUAUCUUCUGGAUGGAAUUUGUGCAGAAUAACAUAAAUGGCUAAAAUAAAUUUAUGUGCAAUUUUUUUGUAUGUCUUUGGGUUAAUACCUGUUUAAAAAAUUUGGCUUCCUAAAAUUUCCAUGUCCAUGGGCUUGAUGACUACAUAAAAUGCAAAAUUUAUGAGGAAACUUUAUCUUGCAGAAAAUGCUUGCAAUUGUUAAAUAAAUAAAUAAAUAGGAAGUUGUAUUGUUAAAUUCUGUGGAUAUAUUUUAUUAUUAAUUAUGUUACCAUGUUGCUUUUGCAUAUGUGCUUUCAAUAGGGAUGAUAUUCCAUUCAUAGAAGCUAGUGUAGUGAUUUGGGUUGAAAAUUUGAACUCUAAAUGUCAUCACUCCAAUGUGGAAAAAAUGAAUUAGUGAGUUUGGCUGCAGAUUGCGAUCAUCAAUGAAUUUUUUCCAUCUAGAGUUUUGGGGAUUUUCAUCUAGUUUUAGAAACCAUAUUUUGUUUCCAACUUUGAAAAUUGCUUUUCUUCUUAUGUGUGGUUCCAAGUAAUGUAUAAUUUUUGGUGGUAUGACCUGCAAUUAAGAUCUAAAUAUGUGUUAAAUGUGUUUCGGAGAAAAAUUGAUGUAAAUUAAGGAAAUUUUAUAAAAUGGAUACCAAUGUAUCAUCGUCUAGCUCAUUAUACUGCAUCAAGAAUGCAUUGAUUGGAAAAAUUGUAAUGGACAUGUUGGUGCGAUGAAAUCCAAACCCAACACGACAAAUAAAAUAAUAGUUAGUUAUAUAAAGUAAGAUUGGAUGUAUUAGCUUUUUAUUUGUUUUAAAUAGUAAUUGUACUUGAAUGAAGAUGAACUGGUAGAUAUAAUUGUAUAAAAAAGGCAAAAAGAUAAUAUUUUUACAAUAUAAUUAAAAUACUCAUGAUCAUAAUUGUGUAAUAAAAUAUAAAGUUAAAAGCUCAAGGCAUACCCAGAACAAAUGCUAAGAAGAGAUCUAAAUUUGGUAGACACAAUAUUUUCUUUGCUUUAGUUUAGCCAGCACAACUUCUUCGGAUUUUUUUUAUGGAUAUAUUUUUUUUAUUUUCUUUAUGAAUACAUAUAAAUGUCUAUAUAAGUCGAAACUCAUUGUUCCAUGUAGAAUUUACAUUGCAUGGUAUAUUUUGUAACCAUCAUUGGAAUUACUUUUACAGCAAUCAAUUAAAGUAAUUAUUUGUUUAUCCAUGCAAAGCAUUCACCCUUUUAUAUACUUUUAUAUAUGCACAUGUGGUUCAUAAACCAAACAUUCGAAGAACCAAUUACGAAAUUAAUUGAAAAAAAAUUAAAAUAUCGAGAAUAAGAAAGAGUUUUUUUUUUUGAAAAUGAAAAAAAUGAAUUCUAAGAAUAUAAAAGAAGCCAGUAAAUUAUAGAAAAUAUAAAAGAAAAAGUCAUGGGAAACAAAAAAAGAACAGAGUAAAAAGGGGAAUUUUCCAAUAAACAAGAGCAGAGGUUGUCAAAAGCACGGUACAAAAAACCAGCCCAUUCGUCUGGUCCACAUAUGAUAACAGUAAGUAAACAAAAAUGAGGGUCAAAAGCCAAUAAAAUUACAAAGGAACCAAGCAACUAAAGCAUACAUGCUGAACUAAGGAAACAAUGAAUGGCAUAACAGAAAAAUAAGAGAUAUCCAAGCCUAAAGUAAUACUCAUAAAUAUGUAUGUGGGCCAUGUCUAUGGAUGAGAAGAGGCAAGAAAGACACACGUAAAAAUUACAAAGAAACCACUUUACUAUACCGUCGAUCUUCCCAUGUGCUGAGUAAAAGAGGAAUAAGAAAUGGCAAAACCGAAAAAUGAAUGACCAUUAAGGCUAAUCCUAAUCACUCUAACAACCGGAAAUGCAAGAGACCGACGCAAAUGGAUCGAAAUACCCUCAACAUUUCAAGCAAUGCCGAAAUACACCCUCUCUCACUGUUCAUUCAAGCAACCCUCACUUUUAUAUAGUUAGAUAGAUAGAUAAAUAAAAUAAAAAAUUAAGUUGGCAUACCAUGUAAAAAGAAGGGCAAUUGCUUGGUUACUUUCGAACAUCAAGUUACAAGCAUCUAUAAGUAUAUACAAAUGAGGUUACGAAAAAGAAGAUUAUAGGUGUGCUUGGAUAGUAAAUUAUUUUUUGAAAAAAUUAUUAUAGCAAUUUUUGAUAUGAUAUAUACGAGAUUAGAAGGUGAUUAAAACGUGUUUAUAUUAUAUUUUACACGCUCCAUGAGGCGAUGAGCCAUCAAGUGAUACCAUUCUUGUUUUUAAAACCUUCUUGUGUUUCUUUUACAAUAAUCCGUCUCACCCCAUGCGACCUUCCAUGCAAGUGAUACCAUUCUCUAGGACAAAGUUGGAAAGAAAACAAAAUCUAUCCGAGCAAAUACGAAUGGACAACUGGAGGAUGAAGCCGAGAAAAAUUUCUUGCCAAUGACAUCGUAAGAACAUUCUUGACUAAGAAACCCUUGAGCAACAUAGGAAGCAUAAACUACGAAAGUUUCGUGUGAUGUUUUCCCACUAAUCUGGAAUUCUUUCAAAUUACUAAUAAGCUCACACCCUAAACUCAAAGCACAAAACGCACUAAGCAAUCACAUAUUAACACCAUCCGAGAUACUUGUAUCAGCAUUCACAAAUUAAUAUUACAUCCAUGUAAAAAAUUAACUUCACAAUGUCUCGUCUGGGAAUGAACUGCCAAGGUCAGCUCGGCAUGGUAAAAGAAUCAGUCACCUUUACACUGAACAAACUGGUAUAAUUGCAAAGCAGAUGCGCAGCAACCAAAUCAACUAAUUUGCACAUAUCUCGAUGGAAAACAAAACUGCCAUUCAUUUCCUCCCAAUUCUUGUUUUAACGCCACCUGAAAUUUGGAACCAAGAAAACAAGGUUCUAGGAUCACAUCAAUCUUAUAAAAAAAAAAAACUACAGCUACAAACUACUGAAGUAACUCUGAAUAUUUAACCAACCUUCCACUUCUUCAAACUGAACUACCUUCACCAGGUCCGCAGCCGCAUUGUACUCAAACCUGCCAGAUCAAACACCAGUUAUCCAAUGAUAUCAACAAAAAAGAGACUUUUACCAUGCUGUCAUUUAGCUCAAACAAAGUAAUGAUAAAUUAUAACCAAGAUAAAGAGAGGUUAAAUUAUUGUGCUAAUGAUUUAUAGUAUGUUAUGCAGCAUGCUUAAACGUUAAAAGAAACACUUUUGACAGAAUAAAUCAAGAAUCCCAGCUUACAAAUAAAAAAUAUAAAAUUUAAACAUAUGAAGAAAAUACUAGAUCUUGUACCCCUUACUCGAAGCAGUUAUUUCGACCACAUAUAAAACAGAGUAUAUACCAUCUCAGCAGUUCAAAAACAUUACGAGGAGUUGUCGAAAGUGGAAGUUAUUUCUCUAAGAGACAAGAAGCAGGAUUGCAGCUUUACAGCAUAUGAAGAUAUGAAAGUUAGUAAGGAUGUAUAAUUGUUCGCUAAAGGAGCUGAGUAAACCAUUGCUGCAACCUUAAAUGAAUAGUAGUUGUGUGAUCAACAACCACAAAGCAGAAAGAACAUGAGAAACUGCGGCCAGAACAUAGGCUGUCCAUUACCUGUUAGAGUGAAGCACAUCCAGUUCAUAGUCAGAUGCACUUUUGGUAGCUUCUACCAGGGCAUUUACAAUCUCUGCCUUUCGAGUACUAGCCAUAAGUAUAUCAUACUCUGUUGGGAUAAUUAUAGCAAAAAAGUUAUCACCCAGUUCACUCAAACUCAGCUUCUCAACAGCUGCUAGUGCAAUCCGCCUUUUAAGUGCAUCGCAGUCUGGGUCUACUACAUAUAUUGCAAAAUCAGUAAUCAAAAGUAUACGAUGCUUCAUCUUCCCAGAACCAGUAAAUUUCAAAACUUUAUCUGCAAAGAGAACUUUACUGUCACCUGUGACAUCAAAAGUCCGAGAAAACUUAGCGUUCAAGGAAGAACAUUUCAGCUAACUGGUUAACACAAAACUGAGUACAAAUAACUCCUGACGAGCAACAACAACUUUCAGCCUAACACACUACAAACCAGAGGUCCAAAGGAAACACUCAAAGAGCACAUCAAGCAGGACCAUCAUAUGUAGAGUACCAAAAUUGAAAAAAAAGAUAGCUCAACACAGCUGUUGGAAAAACUCUAGAACACCAUUUUCGAAGUAGGUUUGUUAUAGUACUUGACAAUUCUAACACAAAUAUCAAAAGAAGAAAGGCAAACAGUCACCACAAUCAGAAAAUCAUACAAAAGACCACGAACAUCUUGAAUCAGAGCAACAAAAUAGAAUGGAUUAAAAAGAAAAAAAAACGCACUUGCACACUUGAGCGCACGAAAAAAUAAAUGCGCAAAACUCAUACGCCUGGUAAGAGUCACAAAACGGAGUUCUUAAUUCCUCCUUUUCAAAAUUAUAUAUUUCGCUUAGAUCCAUCUUAAUAUUACACAAAUACACUCAACUAAAUGAUCAACGAUGACAUGUCGAUAUUUGCUACUAUAAAGAAAAAAGACAAGCAAAAAAACUGAGUACAUUAAAAAAAAAUCCAACUGAAUUUGAUUAGAGGGAGCAGAACCAGUCCCUGGUUAAUUGAAGAACAAAUAGAUACACAAUAACACCAUGAUUAACUAAUGAUAAUAACAUCAAGAUAUCCAAGGCUUCAAAUUUCAAGUUUUUCCGAUACAAUUUCCCUAAAGCACUAUAAAACGACAACCGUCAAAUUAGAAUCGCGUCGAGAUUAAAAGGCUGCAAAUUAUUACCUUGUUUGCUGAGAAUCUUCAUGAGAUAUGAUCGAGAACGCACGUUGACAUAAUCUUUACUGAAAAGGGUGUUAUUUUGGAUUCCUCCGUUUGAGUGGCCGUUGUCUCGGGUUUCAGGGGAUGCGGUGUCUUCGUUGUCGUCAUCGUAAAUUGGCUGGUCUUUUUCCAGCCGCCGAUUGGAUUGGAACCGUGACAUCCCGGGAAAGGUGGCAAGCCGGCGGCUUCGGACGGUGCGGGAUGCCGCGCCGGUGGUUGUGGCUGCUGGAUUUGUUUAGGCGUGGAAACGGGAGAGAUUAGACAUUUCGGAGCACGGGGCGGCCCCACUUCAGUUGGUGGGGUUCCAGCUGUUGUGAUUGGGAAAAUGUCUAAGUUUAAUUACAUAAUGACUCCUUGAAAUUUAAUGAUGAUACCUUUCGACCCCUAUUAUUUGGACAAGUUCACUUGGCGGAGUGUUUUUCUUAGAUUCAUUGAAAGUGCAUCCUUUGCAAAUGUUUCCCUCCAAACGUGAAGAAGGAAAACCCAACAAUUCACCCAAUUCACCCACUAAUUUGAGAUGUUGGAUUGGGUAAGUUGAAUAUUGAGUCAAUUUUGAGUUAGAUAAUAAAAACCCACAUAUAUUUUGGAUUGUUUGGAUAUUUGUGUUGGGUACCCAUUACCCAACUUAAGUUAAAAAAAAAAUAAACUAAUUACAAGAGAUGGGAUAGGGGAUACAUAAACAUUUCAUUGUUCAUGAAACAACAUGAGACAUGAGCCAAAGCAGGGCCUCCAUGUAUAGAUACUUAACAAAAUUAUAUGAGCGGCUUAGCUAUAAUACUUACUUGCAUGCGUUGACGUUUUAUUAUUUUCCUAUAUUUAGAGCAUUCCACUCCUUUUACUUUCAUAAUAUUUUUUGCCACUUCUUCUUUUGUCAUGUAAUCAAAUAUAAGCCCAUCUGGAUUGUUAUUUUUUGAAAAUUAUAUUAAAAAAAACAUACUGUAACAAUUUAAUAUAUAUAUAAUAACAAAAUAAUUAAAAAAUGCAUUCAAUAAAACAUUAUAAAAUUUUUGGGAUAAAAUAACAAUCCAAGAAAGUUUGCAAAUACCAUAUCAUAUGUGUGUCUUUCCCACUUCUUGUUAUACUAGUACACCAAUAUGCCCCACUUCUUAAGUGUGCAUUUGUAUUUGUAAGUGUUUUAGUGUGUGAAAAUAUGUCUAUUUAUGUGUUUAUGUGUGUGAAAAAGUUGUUUUUAUGUGAAAAUAUAUUUAAGAGAGUUUAUGUAUCAAAAUCUAUUAAUUAAUAUAUUUGAUCAUAUUUGGGUCAUAGGUUUGAGAUGACCCAAUAUGAUCCAACUCAAAAUUAACCCAAUCUAAAGUUGAACGGAUUGGUGUAACCCAUUUAAAUAAAAAUCCAAUCCAACCCUCCCAAUUGCCAGAUAUAGUCGGGAGCAUAGAUAUGCUAAAAAUCCAAUCCAACCCUCCCAAUUGCCAGGUAUAGUCGGGAGCAUUGAUAUGCCUUGACAUUUUGAAGGAGCAGUGAACCAUAGAUGUGGUUUUUGGCUGCUUAUAGAUGGUUGUAAAUUGAUGUUCGAAAGUAACCAAGUAAUUGCCUUCUUUUUUACAUGGUAUCUCAACUUAUGAUCUUCCUUUUCAUAUUCUAUGUUUUGCUUGGGAGAGCUAGGACAAAUUAACCUCAUUUGUACAAUAUUUGAGAGAGAGAGAGAGAGAGAGAGAGAGAGAGAGAGAGAGAGAGAGUGAUCCAGCAUCUUCAUGCAAAUAGCAGUUAAGAACAACGAAAUGCAAAGUAGUUGACCAACCUCAUUUUACAUGGCAGGUAUUCUUGGACGAGCAAAAGAAGAUACAAGGACGUACUACCAAACAAUGCGACUAAUUAAAGCUCACUAGUUGAGCAAUUAGACAUAAUGGGAGAAAAAUUAAUACCAGCAUAUUUACUCCUUUAAUUGAAGUAAGAAUGGUACACUAUUGUUGACCAGAAGUCGAAGCUAUAUCCGCAGCAAUCGGUGUAAG